GUGAGUCAUUUAAUGUAUCGAUAAUAACUGGCUCUUCAAGAGGAAUUUUAAAAGGAUCUAGCCAUGAAAAAAUUUUGAAUUGUUCAUCUUCAAUGUCAAAUGACACUACUGCUUUGGAAAGUCUAUCUUCAAUACCUGCAGAAUCAGUAACCCAAUGAAAUGCCUAUUUUAAAGGUCAGAUGAAAUAAGGAGCAGAGAUACCAAAGAGUAUCACUGGAUCAUUGAAAUGAGGGUCACUUGUGUUAGGUAUCAGCCCAUUACAAGGUAACAUGGACUUUGGUGAUCCAAAAUAUAUAUAAGGAUAAUAAUUGUAUGUUUAGACAAUUAUUAUAAGAUAUGUCUUGGUCACAAAGAUAGAAGACCUAGUUGGAAUUGGAUUCUGAUUUGAGUUGAAGAUUUAAGAAUUGGAUUUCAAUUGCAGUUAGGUAUUUCAGAUUUAGAGUUAGAUUCUGAUUUGUCUAGUUUGAGAUGGCUAUAUAUACAUAGUCAUAUUGUGUUUGAUAGGUGUGCUCAAGAUGUAGACUUAGGUAUCGCUCGAGGGCGGAUACUUGGGUAGUAGGCUUGAGUAUCCAAGUUUAGUUUGAUUGUAUUAUUGAUAAUGGUUUUGAUUAAUAAUACAAGUUGGGACGUGGAUUUUCCACGUCAAAUAUAUUGUUGUGUGUCCGCUUUGUAUUAGAAGAUUGAAUCUCGUAUAUUAUCUCUAACAAGUGGUAUCAAGAGCCGAGGUUAGGAUCGUGAUUGAUGGGGUUGAGGAUAAAUUCGGGAUUCAAUCGAGAAUGCAGAGUAUGGUGAAUUUUGUUAGCAGGAAUAGGCAAAGUUACGUGCGGUAUGAUGGUUGACUUGCACCGUGGAUCAAUCAUGAUGGACUCAAUAUGGAAGAAGAUUAGAUGGUUCUUCUAGAUCGAGGCCGGAGGAUUGUGAAAGCAAGGAUCGGGUGACUCAUGGAUGGAAGAGCACUCGGGGUUGAUGCACGUGAUUUUGUAGAUGGAUAAAAUUUGGAAGAACGAGACAUGGAGAUUCUUGUUCGAGGGGAGGCAUUGGCGGAUGGACGUCGAUGUCUUGAUCGUGAUUGUUGAUUGUAUUGGGCUGAAGGGGAGGAUUGUUAGGUAUCAGCCCAUUACAAGGUAACAUGGACUUUGGUGAUCCAAAAUAUAUAAGGAUAAUAAUUAUAUGUUUAGACAAUUAUUAUAAGAUAUGUCUUGGUCACAAAGAUAGAAGACCUAGUUGGAAUUGGAUUCUGAUUUGAGUUGAAGAUUCAGAAUUGGAUUUCAAUUGCAGUUAGGUAUUUCAGAGUUAGAGUUAGAUUCUGAUUUGUCUAAUUUGAGAUUGCUAUAUAUACAUAGUCAUAUUGUGUUUGAUAGGUGUGCUCAAGAUGUAGACUUAGGUAUCGCUCGAGGGCGGAUACUUGGUUAGUAGGCUUGAGUAUCCAAGUUUAGUUUGAUUGUAUUAUUGAUAAUGGUUUUGAUUAAUAAUACAAGUUGGGACGUGGAUUUUCCACGUCAAAUAUAUUGUUGUGUGUCCGCUUUGUAUUAGAAGAUUGAAUCUCGUAUAUUAUCUCUAACAACUUGAUCAGGCUCAUGACAUGGAAGAGUUGUUACAUCAUGUGCACUACGACAAUUAGGAUAUUGGACAAAUGAUCUUUCUAUAAUGACAACAUAUGAGAGCGAUUUUUUUUUAUGACCCUAAAAUCCAAAAACGGAAGAACACUCCAGGUUUUGGUAUUUCACUACAUUCUGCCAUUAUGUCGAAACUUUGGAAACAUUCACCUAGGAUAUUGAAUAUGCACAAAGGGCUGUUCAGUGAUGUAAUUCCCUACCCUUGCUUAGUAUAUCUAUUAACACUGCAUGAUAUAAUAUCUGAAGCAUUGUUGAAGAAUAAUAAAUUAUAACAUCUGGUUAAAAAUUUGAAAGGAAAUAUAUCUCUGUAAUAGUUUUGAAAUGUUACGGAAAGUUUAACACUAACUAAUGUUGCUUUUGUGAGCUUUGUCUACUUUAAAUUGUAGCGCACACACUGUUCAGUUAAAGCAAUGUGGCUUUCGGGAGCUUAAUUUGCUCUAAUUUGCUUUGUAGAGCAUACAAUAUUCAGUAAAACCUAAUGUGGCUUUUGGGAGGUUUGCUCUCUCUUUUGUAUUGUAGGGCACACAUCCUGUUGAGUAAAAACUAAUGUAACAUGUGAUGGGAGCACAACAAUUUUUUGAAGUUGAUUAUUAUUAGGUACAUUUUCUAUCAGUAACCACCACAACAAUAAUGUCUGCGCGCGCGCGCACACACACACAUAUAUAUAUUCGAAAUGACAUGUCUUGUCUUGACUUAUGUUUUUUUGGAAGUAAUCUAUAUACAUAUAUAGUUGGCCAUGUAUUUUUCAGUCAUGAAAUUGAUACUAAAUUUUUUGAUCUUUUUAUCUUAAAAAUAUUUCUUUCCUUCUCUUUUAGUUUUCAAAUACUUUUAUUCACAUGUGUAUUGUUGAUGUGAUUUAUCUCUCUUGUAAUACUACCCAUUUACAGUUUGUAAAACUAGUUAUUACUAUUCUAUACUUCUACUACAAUCGGACCAUGGAAAAAAACUUUUCCCGGCCACCUGCUGCAACUUCAGUUAUGUUCUAUCCUGAGGAAAAUAAUAUCAUAUCGUCUGCAGGGAGGAUGGCUCUAUACUAAUCUAUGGUGUUCAGAAAGAUAUGGUCUUUAUCUAUAUAUACUGAUAUCUAAGUGUUGUACAUUAAAAAUGAAUUAUCAUUUACCGAUUAAGUUCUUAUUAUCUAUUUGGCUUAUAUAGAUGAUAUUGCCGAGAUAAUGCUCAUCAGAAGAGAGUGACUGGCCUUGCCUAUUCUAGUGCAUUAAAUAUCCUUUUAUCGUCUGGAUAAGAUGCUCAGGUACAUUUUUAAAGUGGAAGGCUAAUAGAAGAUAUCAGAUGCAUGGGCACAUUUCUGUCAAGUGUCACCAGGACCAAAGACAUUUGUUGGUUGUACAUGAAAGUUGUAUAGCCACUCCUGAUCGGGACCUAAUCUCGAGCCCUGCAAGCAGGUAUCUACAAAUUAUUUGCAGUGUUGACAAUCAAUUUAUAUGCUUUGUUGAAUAUCACAACAUGCUUAAUUCACCCAUGCUUUAUUAGACCUUAUUUGAAAGAGGUCGGGGUGAUUAUUUUGGGUGCAACUAUAUUGUGUAUUAAUAAUCAAGCACAUAACAAAUACUCCCUCCGUUUCAAUUUACAUGUCCACUUUUAAAACAAAAUUUUGUUUCAAAUUACUUGUCCACUUCAACUUUCAAUGCAAAAUCAUAUUUCCAAAGUCAAUUUUACUCCACAUAUCUCUUAUUUAUAUUUCCUAGAUCAAUCUCACUCCACAUAUUUUGAUCAUGUAAUGCAAUUAAUUUGUGAACAUCCACUUUCCUUAAACUGUGUGAUUAUUUUAAAGUGGAAUCAAAUUUGAAACGGAAGGAGUAUAUAUUAAUUGUGUGUGUACAUAUAUACUUACAUGAACACAAUCAUAUUUGGCAGAACUUGAAAUUGAUUUUUCUAAAAUAGUCCCUGGUGCAAUAUCAUGUCACUCUGCUAUUGAGAGAUCUAAGUUCUUCAUGACAGAAGAAAUUCUCAAGCUCUUUAAAUAUUUCUUGCAGUAGAUUCCCGGGGAAUUGAUCAGUGAUGCUGCAUAUAUAUUCCUGUGAUGGCCAGUCCAUAUAUGCCUGCUUUCUUAACAGGCACAUUGUUUUCUUGGACUCGGCAUCUUUGACCAUAAUUUUUUUUUAUCAAUCCGAGUGCAUAUUUUACCUUCUAAGUAAAGGUACGUGUUAUGUUUAAUUAAAAUGUAUACUGAAAAUAUGAGCUUAUUAGCGAUAACACCCUCUUGACGGGAAGCUGCCUUCUGUAUUAUAUCUACAGCCGGGUGAUGUAUGCUUCUACUCUUGCGGCUAAUCCUACAAAUUAAAACCCAAUCAGUUUGCUCUCGGGCUUAGUGAUGGUGGCGUACUAGUUAUAGAACUUGAGGAAGAGGAUAUUGGGGUUGGCAUUGUAGCACGCCUUAGCUUGAGACCAGCAACAACUGAGAACUUGAUAUGAGCUUUUGUGAUAAUCAAAGCCCAGUGUCUCUUGAAAUCUAUAUGUUUUAAAACAUACAUCUGGGGAUUGGAUUAGUGCAAGAGUUGUGAAGUUUUUUUUUUUGCUUGACUAUGUUAAGUGAUAAAUGUUCAAUUCAAAUAUACACCUAGUGCAGAAUUUGAAAUGAGAAUUGUCAACAGAGUAUGAAAAUGAGAAAAGAAAGCCAAUAUUUUGGCAUAUACAAUGUUUCACUCAUACAGUCCGUAAUUUUCAAUGCAAAUAUACAUGUAGCUGCCCAAUUUCAAAAGAGAAUUAUCAAAACAAAUAUGCAAAUAUACAUGCUUGACUAUGUUAAUUGAUUUUUUUUAAUUCGAAUAUACAUGUAGAAGGAGAAUAUGAAAUGAGAACCAUCAACAUAGUAUGAAAUAUGAAAAUAAUAAAAGAAACUCAAUAUUUUGGUAUUCGGAGUGUCCGACACAACACAUUUCUGAGUAUCGGAUUUGGAAUUAUCAAAAAUUCCUGACAUAGUCACAAUGUCCAAAUUAAUUUUGGACAUGGAUACGGGGAUGCAGCGAAUUUUAAAAUAAUUAUUUAUUUUCAUUUGAGAAAUAAAAAAAAUAUAUUGCAUUAUUUUUUAGUUGAAAAUGUGCAAUUGAUUGAUUUAUAAAAUCCAAAAAUUAACAACUAUAAUACCGGUAUUUAUAGUGCAAAAUCAGGGUACAAAUUGUGGUCUGAGCAGAAUACUCCUCAGCUUGAGAAUAUGCAAUCUGCAGGGUGGAAGAAACUGUGGUCAUUAAAGAUCCCUCAUAAGAUCCGUAUGUUUCUGUGGAGAAUAUGCAGGAAUAAUGUUCCUGUGCGAAAUAUGUUAAGGGAGAAGGGGGUUAAUAUUCCCAUUUUGUGUCCUAUGUGUAACAUAGAAGUGGAGCAUUUACUUCAUAUUUUUUUCGACUGCAAAUUUGCCUCGGAGUGCUGGAAAGUUAUGAAUUUAUCAUAUGAUAUGAGAAAUGCAGACUCUGCCUCUAACUGGUUACUUCAUAAGCUUGCUACAACAACGGACGAGGAGGCUUCUGUCAUUGCUACUGUCUUGUGGGGCAUCUGGUAUGCUCGGAACUUAAAUGUUUGGGAGCUCUGAGUCCCUCUGUUGCUAUGGAAGGAAGUAAAAGGCAGGUAUCGGAUUGGAAGGAGGUUAAGUUAAGGAAGCAUGUUUCUCGAUCAAAUGUAAAUGAUGGUCAGCAAGAGCAUAUUCAGAAAUGAAUGCCGCCUGUCGAAGGUACCCUCAAGCUUAAUGUUGAUGCAUCUGUUAUCCAGGGGAGCACCUCGUUUCAAAUUGGAAUGGUGUUGCGUGAUUGUCGUGGCCAUUUUAUCCAAGGAAAGUGCAUGCACUAUGCUGGAGAGGUAACAGCUCUUGAGGCAGACUUUUGGAAUUUGUGAGGCCCUCUCUUGGAUGCUCGCUAGGAGUGGCCAAUCUGUUCAAAUUGAGAGUGACUCUCUGGUUGCAAUCAACUUCAUCUGUAGUAAGACGGCAAAUCAACUUGAAAUUGGUCAUGUGUUUGAGAUGUGCCCAGAAAUCAUGCAAAUUAGACCCGAUUUGUCCUUGCACUUUGUUAGAAAGCAAGCCAAUGAGGCGGCGCAUUUAAUGGCGCGUGUACCUUGUGAGCUAAAUAGCUACAAUUUAUUCUUGUCUCCUCCAUUGUCUGUGUUGGAGACUAUUGUUUCUGAGGUUUCAGUGUUUUAAUGGAAACUCUCUUGUUUUCAGAAAAAAAAAAUGUAUUUAACAUUUUUCUUGCCAAUAUUCAUGUAAAGCAAAAAUUAUGCACAGCAAAGUAAAAGAAAGGGAAAAAGGGAAACAAUUGGAUAAUGAAUGGGGACUUAAAGAUGUCCAGAUAUAUUUGUAAUAUAUAAUACAUCUCAAUACAUGUAUUCCUCGAUCUUUUCACCCGUUUACUACCAUCUUCUUCAUUUCUCUCCACCGUUUCACCACUUCUCAUCUUCUUCUUCCUGUUCCCCAUAUUUCAUAACAUCGCUUCUUACACAAUUUCUUCCGUAUUUCUCAACGAUCUUUGAUUUUUGAUUUCUCUGGUAACCAUUGACUUUUCCGAUGAUGAAUGGGCGGUAUAGAGCUUUCAACAGAGCAGUCCGGCCUCUAUCCUGUUUCUUAUCUUGUGUCGUGCCGUGUCGACACGGGUACGUUGAAUGGAAUAGACGAGUCGGAUUAACACAGCUAAGCAAUGAAGAAAAUGCUUCAAAACUUGUGGUAAGAAUGUGAGAGUAUUUAAUUAUAUGAAAUCUUGAUAAUUAAAGACCGGAGGGAAUAUGAUGUAGCAACUCUUGAAUGUCAUGAGGCUGAUCAAGUGCCCCCUUAUUUCAAUGAUCCAAUGAUACUCUUUGGUAUCUCUGCUCCUUAUUUUAUCUGUCCCAUAAAAUAGGCAUUUCAUUCAGUUACUAAUUCUGCACCUAUACUAAUCUAUGAUGUUCAGAAAGAUAUGGUCUAUACUAAUCUAUGGUGUUCAGAAAGAUAUGGUCUUUAUCUAUACUGAUAUCUAAGUGUUGUGCAUUAAAAUAAAUUAUGAUUUAGCUAUUAAGUUCUUAUUAUCUACUUGGCGUAUAUGGAUGAUUGCCGAGAUACAUGCUCAUCAGAAGAGAGUGACUACCCUUGCCUAUUCCCGUGCAUUAAACAUCCUUUUAUGGUCUGGAUAUGAUGCUCAGGUGCAUUUUUAAACUGGAAGGCUUUUAGAAGAUAUCAGAUCCAAAGUCACAUGACGCUAAUAAUCCUUUUGGUUUUUGAAGAUAUGUGCUUGGAACAGAUUUGGAUGAAAAUACCAGUCGACUAAUUUCAUGAAUGAUCAUGGAAAUGCUUUGUCUCCCCGGCACAAUUCUGUCAAGUUUCACCAGGACCAAAGACAUAUGUUGGUUGUACAUGAAAGUUGUCUAGCCACUCUUGAAGGGCCUAACCUCGAGCUCCGCAAGCAGGUAUCUGCAAAUUAUUUGCAGUGUUGACAAUUAAUUUAUAUGCUUUGUUAAGUAUCACAACAUGCUUCACCACCCUUUAUUAGACCAUAUUUGAAAGAGGUCAGGGUGUUCAUUUUGGGUGCUACUAUAAUGUGAAUUAAUGAUCAAGCACAGAACAAAUAAAUAUUAAUUGUGUGUGUACACAUAUACCUACAUGAACACAAUCAUAUUCGACAGAACUUGAUAUUGGUUUUUCUUAAAUUGCCCCCUGGUGCAAUAUCAUGUCGCUCUGCUACUGAGAUUAAAAAGUUUUUAAUGACAGAAAAAAUUCUCAAACUCCUUAAGUAUUGUUUGCAGUGGAUUCCCGGGGAAUUGAUCGUCGGUGAUGCUGCAUAUUCAUGUGAUGGCCAGUCCAUAUAUGAUAUAUGCCUGCCUUUUUAAAGGGCACAUUGUUUUCUUGGACUCCGCAUCAUUUACCCUCUUGACUGGAAGUUGCCUUCUGUAUUAUAUCUAGGGCCAGGUGAUGUAUGCUUCUACUCUUGCGGUUGAUCCUACAAAACACAAUCAGUUUGCUCUCGGGCUUAGUGAAGGUGGCGUACUAGCUAUAGAAGAAGAGGAUACCGGGAUUGCUUUGUACUACGCCUUAGCUUGAGACUAGCAACAACUGAUAACUUGAUAUGAGCUUUUGUGAUAAUCAGAGCCCAGUGACUCUUGAAAUCUAUAUGUUUUAAAACAUACAUCUAGUGAUUGGAUUAGUGCAAGGGUUUUGAAGGUGUUUUCUUACUUGACUAUGUUAAGUGAUAAAUUUUCAAUGCAAAUAUACACGUACAUGUAGAAAUUGAAAUGAGAACUGUCAACAGAGUAUGAAAAUAAGAAAAGAAACCAAUAUUUUGGCAUAUACAAUGUUCCACUUACAAAGCCCCCGUAACUUUCAAUGCAAAUAAACAUGUAGCCACCCAAUUUGAAAAGAGAAUUGAUGUCACCACAACAUAUAUAUAUGAAAAUAAUAAAAGAAACCCAAUAUUUUUGCUUGACUAUGUUAGCCGAUAAAUUUUUAAUGCAAAUAUAUAUGUAGCCACACAAUUUGAAAUGCGAACUUGUCAUCAUCAGAGUAUGAAAAUAUUAAAAUAAUAAAAGAAACCCAAUAUUUUGGCAUAUAUAUACAAAGUUUCACUCAAAAAUUUUUUAAUUAGGAGCUAGUAUCCAGCUCUUUAGUAUAAAUUCUAGGCCCACUAUCACCCUCAACUAGAACAUACACAACACCCUUUUAGAUGUAUAAAAAUACCAUCACUUAAUAGGCCUCCAAAUGGAUAGAUAUGAUCCGAGUCUAUUUUAAAUAUUCAUGAAUUAAUCUCAAAAUAAUUUCAUUGGCUAAUAUAAUGGGUUAUUUAUUGGAUUAAAUAUGGAUUUAGGUCAAUCGGACCCGUCUAUGAUCCAACCCCAUCAUUAUAUGUAUAUAUAAAAUAAUAUUAAUAUAAUAUUUAAUACUUAUAUACUCAAUAUGUUAUUCCCGUCCUAUUUUUGCACGUUUCUUAUGAAAAUAAAACAUUUAGAAAAAAUGUUAGUGGAAUAUAUAUAAUUCUAUCUUAAAAUGAUAGUUUUGUUUCGACUUAACUUAGUUAAACUAGUAAUUUUAAUUAACAAUUUUAUGGGGCUGUUUAUUUCGUACAAGCAAAAGCUGCUUCUGACUUCUGCUUCUCUUGACCCGUUUGUGUAAAUAAGUAGAAGCACUUUUAUUAAGCUGAAAAUGCUAGCUUCUCUCUCGCAGCUUUCAUUUCUUUUCCAAACAUUUUCUUAACUUAUUACAUCUCACUUCUAUUCCACUUCUUAAGUUUAAGCACGAAGUCACUUCUUUUAACUUAACCCAAACGGUCCCUAUAUAUUAUAUAACUUCAAAACUUUUUGAUAUAUACAUAUAAAUGUUACUAAAUAUUCAUGAAAAAUAUUUAUGCAAGAUAUUUGAAACAUCAUAAUGACCCAUAAUAUUGGCACAUGAGACAAAAAAAAACAUCAAAAUAAAUCGUAAAUUAACAAAGUCUAAUGCCUAAACAUACCAAAUUAGAUCAAGAUAUAUUCCUAUCGAAAAAUAACCGAAUAAGGUAUAAUACAACCGUUUUAUGACAAAAAAAAAAAGUUUAUUACUUCCAAUUUUAAAAAAUAUUGCACAUAAAUAUACAUACAAAUAAUAUAAAAACAAAGUCAUAAUUAAAAAACCGAUAUUCAAAUCAUAACAAAUUAGUCAUCAAUAAAAACAUGCACCUAAAAACAUGUUAAAACUAAAACUUUUAAUAUAGUAGAUCAAACCACACACUUAACAUACCCACACAAUCAAGAACGCCAAGAACUCAUAUCGAAAUCUAUAACAAACCUAAUUUCAAAUCAAUAUUCCGGCCGAGCAUAUAGCAAAUCCGACUAAGACAAAACAUUUCGAAAAAAUACCGGGAAAAAAGUUACAAAACUCGACCUGAUCUACAAAUUAAUCCAAACAAAAUUACCAAGCCAGAUACAAAUCCAUAUUUUCGAUCACCUAAAAAAUCUAUACAACUUUAAAAUUAGAAGAGGAAUGGGGUAAAUUGAUUACUAUAUAUGAUGCAGAUAUGCUAUCAUAAUAUAAACAAAACAAACAAAACAAGCAAACAAAACACAUGAAAAACAUUUAUCCAUGAUUGCAACAAGAUAAUGGCGAAAAAAACGUACCUUUUCAAAGAGACGGGGAAAUCUUGAUUACAUAUUUUUUUAAUUCACACAAGUCAACAUGUUUGACUUUCCCUUUUAUUUCUUUUACAAUGCUCCUCUAAUUUGUCUUUUUAAGUUUAUAUGGCGUGCUAAUUACCAUAAAAAUUAUGGGUGGCAAUGCUCGGAUAUCCAAUGAUAUAAUUUAAAUGCAUUCAAAAAUUUGUACAAUUUUAUGUAGAUAGCGUAUUUGCUACCUAUAGGCAUUUUAAAAUCCUAAUUAUUGAAGAAAUUUUAGACUGUUAUUCAUAACUUAGUGUUUCUACCUUAUAAAUAUUAGUGUAACGGUAAGGAUAAUGUUUCUAACUUAUACACAUUAGUGUAAUUUUAAGGAUAAAGAUGGCCACAUAAUUGAUUGUUUAGUAUACUUUUCAAAUGAAAUAUAAUGUUCACAUAAUUUAGAAUUAUAGUUCUUACUUUUUAUAUAUUUUUAAGUGGCCUUAUUACAUAUUGCAUAUUAGAGUCGAAAACAUGAACUAAGUGUGCACACUUUCCUCUUUUGUUAUUUAGUUCCUCAUUUAAAUAUUUGUCUUAUCUCAGCGUAUUUCUUUUUUUAAAGUCUCCCCUAAUUGUUCAUCAUUUAUUACCGGUGUAUGUUAUGAAUAACUUACAUUUGAUCUAAAAAGUUUAUUUUUCGUGUAUGCUAUGAAUUAUGUAUAUCACAAUUUUAAUUAGACAUUACUCUAUUGAUGUAGCACUGAAUUUUUAUGUCAUUCUAUAGAUACAUGGUACAUGAGUUAGACCUACUUGAACUCUUAGAUACAAGGUUCCUAAUCAAAUUCUUAAGCUUGUUCCAAAUAUGGAGGUGGUUAUAGGUAUUCAUCUAAAUCUCAACAUUAAUAUUUCAUCAAUUUCUUUGACUUAAAUUUUUAUUGAUGUUAAAUGGAUAACAUUUAAACAAUCCUUGGUAAUCCUUGCGAGAUAUCUACAUUACCGAAUUUCAUAAUGGAUAUAUCUCAAUUUGGAAAAAAGAUGUCAUAGGUAAAACAUAUAUGGAAAAUUAUCACAAUGGUACCCUAAGGAUCAUUUUUCACAAAUAAGCUUUUAUAUUUUAUCUACUACUAUCGAUCUAUUUUGUUCUCUAGAAAUUUAUUACAAUGCUACUCAAUAGGAUUAUUUAUGAAAAUUUUGUUCAUUCUUUGAGGCACGCAAAUGGUUUCGCGGCUCGCAAAUGUUGUCAAUGUGCAUAUUAUUAUAAUUGCUUCAUAUGGUGAUGUCUCAUUAAUUGGUUGCCCAAAAACAAUAUUGAAGCAACAUGGUUUAAUUUGUGAUAUUCUAUUUUGUGUAUGUAAAUCACUUACUAUAUACCGGCCAUUCUUGGAUGUAUCUUUUAUUUACAUGUAAACUUUUGUAGUAAGAAUGUUAUCAUGGCUCAAUUAUUCAAUAUAUCAUUUAUUUCCUAGUGGAAUAUUGUAGAUACUAUGUGGUAAGUGUCAUUUUUAUGCUAAUAUUUAAAUACAAAAUUAAAAUCAUGUGUACAUUAUUAAUAUCACAUUAGGCUAUAGUGGAAAAUAAUUGAAUGACAUAUACAACAUGUGAGCUACUUGCAUAAGAUAGCCAUUAAAAGACCGGUUUCAUUUGAAACAUACUAGCUGAUUUAUUUCAAUAAGUGAACUUGAUGGGACAACCAACUAUAGAGUUGGGAACAUUACUCAUCAUUCUUUUUAUAUUAUUUAGGUUAUCUUUUAUAUAUACGGGAGGUACCUUAAAUGAAUUUUCACAUAUAUAAGGUAUUAUUUCUACCUAAAAGAGAUUAUAAUUUUUUUAUAUUUCUCUUUAAAUUUCCAAUCAUGGUAUUGUUUCUACCUAAAAGAGAUUAUAAUUUAUAUAUAUUUCUCUUUCGAAGUUCCAAUCAUUAACAAUUUGAUGAAUAAGGGAAUCAGUUCCACAUGGAGGAGUGUGGAGAUUUUAGUUGAGUUUAUAAGCAUAAGCACCUCUGGAGUACUCUUGCCAUUGUGGGAUAGUACCACCAGCCUUCGUGUCUCCACCUCUGCUAACAUGACGAAUCAAGCUUUCAUCAAGUAUUGGGUUUUAUCAUAUAUCAUUCCUCUCCAAUGUAAUUAUUAAUAAUUCAUACAAUUUUUGAGGUUGUGGUUGCUUGUGUUGUGAGUACUCAUUUUGCUCAAACAGUUUUAAUCAUAUGACUUUAUGCAUAUUCUUUCUUUAUUCAACUCAUUUUUAUAAUUGACCUUUUCGUUACAUAUUAAGACAAGAUAUUAAUCUUAUUUAGUCUAUUUUGAAUGUCAUAAAGGACCGAAUUGAAUUUGAGAGAUAGAUAUGUGAGGUAAAACGUUGAUAGAAAAAUAUCACAAUGGCAUUAUCUUGCCCCAUUCACCCAAAAUAAGCUUCUUUUCUUAUUUAAUAUGGUAGCCUUUGCUUUUUCUACGGGUAAAUUGAGCUCAGGACUCGUCAUUGCGAUUCUUUAUUCGAAAUCUUGCCAUUCUUUGAGGCAUAUACCAAUGCAAUCUGCAAAUUAAUGUUUUUGUCUCAGAUGAGGAAGAUCUGUGAGCUGUUAAAAAUAAGUUAAUUUGUAAUUCUCUUGAAUUAUCUCUAAGAGUCUAGAUGAUUCUAGUUAUAAGUAAUGAGUCAAAUAUUCAAUGUAAGCAAUGGAAGGUCUCCUGAACUUAUUCAUGAACCUUAUUAAUGAUCUAAACUCAUAGUCUUCCUAGUCUAUCUAUAUAAAGACUAGAUGGAUCAGUUGUAAAUUAAGCCAGCAAGUAAUAAUAUAUAAAGAAAAGCUUUCUGCCUUCUUCCUUUAUCAAUUCUGAUCCCAACAAAUUUGGUAUCAGAGCCAGGUUCAUUCCAGACCUCCAAAACACUUAAGUUUCAUAAACCCUCUUAUAUAUGUAAUGGCAGCAUCUAGUGAAGUGUUAUUCAACUAUGCACAAAGCAGUAUUCCUAUUUUUAACGGUGAAAGCUAUGACUUCUGGAGCAUCCAGAUGAAGACGUUAUUCAUCUCUCAUGACUUAUGGGACUUGGUAGAAGAUGGCUAUGAAGCUGGAGCAACGCAAGAAGAAAUUGCAUCCUGGUCAGCGGCUAAGCAGAAUGAAUUUAAGAAUAAUAAGAAGAAAGAUGCCAGGGCUUUACUCUUUAUUCAGCAAGGAGUCAGUAAAGCAAUAUUUCCACGUAUUAUGGGUGCAAAAACGUCAAAAGAAGCAUGGGAUCUUUUGCGGAAUCAGUUUCAAGGCUAUGAAGCAGUAAUUUCAGUAAAGCUGCAAUCGCUAUGGAGAGAAUUUGACAACCUGCAGAUGAAAGAAAGUGAAAGUAUUCAGGACUUCUUCUCUAAGGUGUCAACAAUCAUUAAUCAGAUUCGAAGUUAUGGAGAUACUUUGGAUGAUAAAAAAGUUGUUCAUAAAAUUUUAAGAAGCCUGCCAGCGAAGUUCGAGCAUGUAGUAGCAGCGAUUGAAAUUUCUAAGGACUUGUCCAAAUUAACGGUGGAUGAACUUAUGGGCGCUCUUGAAGCUAACGAGGAAAGAAUUCGCAGAUUCUCAAAUCAGCCCCUGGAGCAAGCUUUUCAAGCAAAAAUCAGCAUAAGCAACAAAAACGGUGAAGUAAAUCAGGAAAACGAAGCACGAAGAAACUACAGCAGGAAUCAAAAUACUAGAAGAAGGAAUCAGAAUUUUCAAGGAAGAGGAGGAACGCGAAAUUUUAAUCAAAGAAGCAACUUCAACAAUUCCAAAUGUAUCAUCUGCAAGCGAUCAAAUCAUGAGUCAAAAAAUUGCAAAUUCAGAUGCAAAAGGUGCAAAGUUUCUAACCAUUCUCAGAGAGACUGCUGGUUCCAAAACAGAACUCAAGCAAAUGCAAAUUUUUCGGAGGAGAGUGAAGAGACACAUGUGACUUUUUCAUGUAUGAAUGACCAGCAAGUGCAGCAAAAGAAGUGGUAUAUUGAUAGCGCUUGUAGCAAUCACAUGACAGGCAGCAAGGAGCUUUUUUCAGAGCUUGAUGAAAGCCAUAAAUCUGAAGUAAAGAUUGGAGAUGGAAAAAUGCUGAAAAUUGAAGGAAAAGGCAUCAUUACAUUCUGCUCUAAAGAAGGUAUGACUCUAAACAUCGCUGAUGUUCACUACGUUCCUGAAUUAACUCAAAAUUUGUUGAGUAUUGGCCAACUGAUGCAAAGAGGUUUCUCAAUAAAUUUCGAUGAUGAGCAUUGUGUUAUUUUUGAUAAGAAGAAGAAAUUUACAGUGGCAAGAGUUAAAAUGAUUUCAAAUAAAACCUUUCCAUUAUCUAUGCCAUUGGAAGGUAAUGUUGCGUUAAAAGUUGAGCAGAAUGAUGAUUCAUUUAUAUGGCAUCUAAGAUACGGGCAUCUCAACUUCAAUGGUCUUAAGCUAUUGAAAGAUAAAAACAUGGUUAUAGGCCUGCCAUGUAUCUCCAAAAUCAAUAAAGUCUGUGAAGGUUGCAUAUAUGGAAAGAUGCACAGAUUGUCGUUCCCGAAAACAGCCUGGAGAGCAAGGGCUCCAUUAGAACUGGUUCACUCUGAUAUAUGUGAAUCAAGGACUCCUUCACUCAAUGGCAGCAAAUAUUUUCUCUUGUUUGUGGAUGACUACACUAGAAUGAUGUGGGUGUAUUUUCUGAAGCAAAAAUCUGAGGCGUUCAUCUCAUUUAUUCACUUCAAGGCGUUGGUGGAAAAUCAAAGUGGAAGAAAAAUAAAGACACUCAGGACUGAUCGUGGUGGGGAGUAUUUAUCUCAACCCUUUCUUAAUUACUGCAAAGAAAAAGGUAUAAGGAGGCAGCUAACGAUAAGGUAUAGUCCUCAACAAAACGGCGUUGCAGAACGGAAGAAUCGGACAAUAGUCGAGAUGGCCAGAAGCAUGUUAAAAGCAAAAGGUUUGUCAAAUAUUUUCUGGGCAGAAGCUGUUUGCACAGCUAUCUAUCUUCUGAAUAUCUCUCCAACAAAGGCGGUGUUCAAUAAAACGCCUUAUGAAGCUUGGUAUAAGCAGAAACCAGAAGUACAUCAACUCAAAGUGUUUGGAUGCAUCGCCUAUUCUCAUAUUCCAGCACAACACAGAGAGAAAUUUGAUGAGAAAGGAGAGAAGCUGCUAUUUCUUGGCUACAGCGAAGAAUCAAAAGGCUAUCGUCUCUUUAAUCCUGCCACAAAGAAAUUUGUGAUCUCCAGAGAUGUAAUUUUUGAUGAAACAAAACAGUGGAACUUUCAGAACAAUACAUCUCAACCAUCACUUCAGAAUGUGCCAACAAUAUCUCCAGAAAUGUUUGAAGAUGUUGUCUUACCAGAAGAAGGAUCAAGAUUCACAACUGAAGACACCACGGAUACGGAAGUACUUAGACAUCGUUCAAUUCAAGAUAUUUAUGAUUCUUGUAACGUGGCAUUCUUUACAUGUGAACCAAAAGAUUUUGAGGAUGCUGCAGGAGAAGAAACUUGGAUAAAAGCAAUGGAUGAUGAGAUUACUACUAUAGAGAAGAAUCAUACAUGGAAACUUGUUGAUCCUCCGAAAAAUAAAGAUAUCAUAGGACUAAAGUGGGUCUAUAAGACAAAAUACAAUGAAGAUGGAACUGUCCAAAAGCACAAGGCAAGAUUAGUUGCCAAGGGGUAUUCUCAGCAACCAGGAAUUGAUUUCACUGAAACAUUUGCUCCGGUGGUUCGUAUGGAGACAAUCAGAUCUGUACUGGCUGUUGCUGCUCAGUUUCAAUUACCGGUCUACCAACUUGAUGUCAAGUCAGUCUUUCUUAAUGGAGAGCUCCAAGAAGAAGUUUACGUGGAGCAGCCUCAAGGAUACAUCAAAAAGGGGCAGGAAAAGAAGGUUUAUCGUCUUUAUAAAGCCUUGUACGGGCUGAAGCAAGCGCCACGUGCUUGGAAUGCUAAGAUUGAUGGUUACUUUCGUAAAAAAGGUUUCCAGAGAAGCAAAAGUGAGCCAUCCUUAUAUGUUAAAAAAUCUGGUGCGCAUGAUUUUCUCAUUGCGUGUUUAUACGUGGAUGACUUGAUCUAUAUGGGAACUAAUGCUAAAUUGGUGGAGGAUUUUAAGAGGUCAAUGAAAGAAGAAUUCGAAAUGACUGAUCUAGGUCUCAUGAAAUACUUUCUUGGUAUCCAAGUGAAGCAAUCUUCUGGUGAAAUAACAUUAUGUCAAGAGAAGUAUAUUGAUGAUUUGUUGAGGAGAUUUCAUAUGGAAAAUUGCAAGCCGAUGGAUACUCCUAUGGCUGCAAAUCUAAAACUACAGCUUGAUGAUGGUGCAACAAAGAUUGAUGCAAGGAGAUAUCGAAGUCUUGUGGGAUCGCUUAUUUAUUUAACAAAUACAAGGCCAGAUAUAGUUUAUCCGGUUAGCCUAGUAUCAAGAUUUAUGCAAGAACCAAGCAGCUUGCAUUAUUCAGCAGCGAAACGCAUUCUUCGUUACUUGAAGGGUACUAAGAAUCAUUGUUUGAAGUACACAAAAGAAGAAAAUAACAGGCUGACUGGUUAUACUGACAGCGACUGGGCUGGUUCUAUUGAUGAUCGCAAAAGCACUUCAGGUUAUGUAUUUUUCUUGGGAACAAAGCCUAUCUCAUGGUCAUCCAGAAAACAGAAAACUGUUGCACUUUCUUCUGCAGAGGCAGAAUAUGUCUCGGCUUCAGAUGCAGCAUGUGAAGCAAUCUGGCUCAGGAGAAUACUUAAUGACGUGGAACAAAUUGAGAAAGAGCCGACUACUAUAUUGUGUGACAACAUGUCAGCAAUUGCAAUGACUAAAAAUCCUGUCUUUCAUAGCCGCACCAAACAUAUUGAGCUACGUCAUCACUUUAUUCGGGAUCUGGUGCAAGAUGGAGAAGUUUCGCUAAAGUUCAUCAACACAAAUGAGCAAGUUGCUGAUAUUUUCACAAAAUCAGUCUCAACUGAGAAAUUUACAAAAUUCAAGGAAAGUUUAGGAAUUACAAAUUAAGAGGGGGUGUUAAAAAUAAGUUAAUUUGUAAUUCUCUUGAAUUAUCUCUAAGAGUCUAGAUGAUUCUAGUUAUAAGUAAUGAGUCAAAUAUUCAAUGUAAGCAAUGGAAGGUCUCCUGAACUUAUUCAUGAACCUUAUUAAUGAUCUAAACUCAUAGUCUUCCUAGUCUAUCUAUAUAAAGACUAGAUGGAUCAGUUGUAAAUUAAGCCAGCAAGUAAUAAUAUAUAAAGAAAAGCUUUCUGCCUUCUUCCUUUAUCAAUUCUGAUCCCAACAUGAGCUUGGAAAGGUUGUGUGAAAUCUCAGCUUAGGCAACUUAAUUUGAAGGUUAAUAUUUUACUUUAUUUACCUAAAUAGGUGUUGUUUCUAGCUCAGAUGUUUCUUUUCUUUCCUUUCAUUGUGUUCUUUUAUAUGGUAUGGCGGCCGCGUCAAACCAAAGUCAAGUCCGCGUUAAUACUUGCACAGCCGUUAACUUAUACUGAAUUGUAACGGAUAGAGACGUUAAAUUUUUUAAAUGGGCUGCCACGUUUCUUAAUGGCCUUCCACGUAGACUUUAUAACCAGAAAGCCCAACAAUUAAACCCAAUUAAUCAAAAAUAAUACUGAUCCAUUUAUACUAACCAAAGCUAUUUGAGUUAAUCAGCCUCGAAUGAGAUUCAAAGCAAGAGAAGUGAGGAAGAAAGGCUACUCACUUGAAGAAGCUCGAUCGAAGAUGACAGUAUGUCGGAAGGAGUUAAGAAAUUCAAAAGGGGAUUCAAACGAAGAGGACACAAACUUUAGCGAAUCGAUGAGGUAAUUUCUAGGGUUCAUAUACCCAAUUCCAAGUUCUUGGAGAGACUCUGACAUUAGUUUGUGACCAGAGGAAAGGAUUUAAAACUACAAACUCCCUGUUGACAAUGCAAUUUCAUUAAUUCAGGCACUCAUACGGAUGCUCCUUCACAUGCUUACAAACUGCCUUAUAUGUUCGGUGCUUCUGUAUGGACAUAUAAAUAUAUAUUGUAAUUGGGUCGGGUUCUUCAUUUAACUACUGAUGGGUUAUGAUAAAUCAGCAAGCCUAGUGGAUGUUUUUCUUACCCGUCAUCCAGCCACAUCAGCGCUCAGUUACCUCGGUUAAAUGUGUUAACGGUGAUCAUAUAAAUGCAACUAAAUAUUAGUUUAGUUAUUUGAUUGCAAACUAAUAUUUAGUUGCAUUUAUAUGAAAUAUUUAGUUGCAUUUAUGUGAUCAUAUAAAUGCAACUAAAUAUUAGUUUAGUUUCUGACAGCCAUUUUCUGACAGAGCGCUCUUUGGUGUUUAAUAUCUGACGGGAGCUAGCAUCUGACGGACAAGUGAGCUAACAUCUGACAGAGCUCUGUUUGGUCGUCGGAAAUUGAAUAUUUUAUUUAUAUAAUUUGGUGGCAAAAAAAAAAUUUCCCGCUAAAUGGACCUUCUGACAGCCGAACCCAGUUCUGUCAGAAGAUGUCAUAAAAUAUAUCAAUUUUCCUUAUAAAAAAAUAAAAAACAUUUUUUUUAUUAAAAGAAAAUUAAAUUCUGAAAUGUUUUCUUGCCAUUAGAUACUUCUGACCGAUAACCAGUCAGAAGUACUUGGACAAAAGAAACAUUUUUAACACAUAGCUACUUCUGACGGACAACCGGUCAGAAGUAUUCAAAACAAUUAUUUUUAUCAAUUAGAUACUUCUGACGGAUAUCCCGUCAGAAGUACCUCUGUACCUACUGUCCACACACUUUCUUAUCACUUCUCAUCUAACUUUUUUCAUUCCAAGCCACAUUCACUCUUCACUCUUUAAACAUAGAUGUAUAUUGACUAAUGAAUCAAGGCCAACAUUUUGAGUUCAUAUCUUCCUUUCAUCGAUGUGAGUAUUUAAAAUUCUUGAUAAAUAACUUGUUGAUGUUUUUAUGUUUAAAUUAAAUUUAUGUUGUGUGCAUAUGUGAUUCAUAUACUUGUGUGCAAGUGUAGGUAUAUAUGAUAUGUUUAAACUUUCAUGAGCAUUCAUUAAAAUUGAAUAAUAAACAUAAACAUUAUUUUGAAUAUUUAUAAUUCAAUAUUGGUGUAAAUUUUAUCUUUGAUUUAUAUGUCAUUUUUUGCAUUGUUUAGAUGUCUAUGGAUCGUACUUGGAUUGGUAGAAGAUCCAAUCCGAAUGGUUAUGGUUUUACAGACGAGUAUUUUGCCGGAGUGGAUGAAUUUCUAGUAUUUGCGCAAAGAAAUUGUAGAGAGCCAAAUGGUCUUAUCUUAUGUCCAUGUAAGGUGUGCAAAAAUCAGCACUUAAAGAGUGUAAUGGAAGUCAAGUAUGAUCUGAUUGCAGUUGGAUUUCUCGAGAGUUAUGUUGUAUGGUAUUAUCACGGGGAAGUUGUUGCUAGUGCCAUAUAUAUUUAUCGGCCAUAUUGUUUUGUAUCUUUUCAGGAUAGAGAGUGGUCAGGCACUCCGCAACUUACUUGUAAUCAUGCGAUUACACUGGCCAGAGGAUGUUAUUCAUCAAUCUGAUGUUGAAAGGCUUACACCUGAUUGGUGGGAUCUUAUUAUUGAUGAGUUUUUCGUAAGUAAAUUCUAUACUUCUAAUAGUUUUAUGAGCUUUCUACUUGUGCUUUAAUACGCGAUAGAGAAAUAUUAAGUUCAAAAUGAUAGCUAUCAAACUGAAAAUAAUGCCCACAAGUAAAUAGCUGUCAAACUGAAAAUAUUGAGUAUUCCAACAUUAGUACUUCUCAUUCAUUCUAAUAUUAUGAUACAUUUCUAUAUUUGCUUGAUAAGACAGAUAAACAAAAUGAAGAACAAAACCAUUUUGUUUUAAGUAACAUAGUUUGUUAUACACAAGUCUGAAUAUAUAUGGGAGCAGAGAACACUUUUUAGAAUAUAUAUGUUAGUUUGUGUAAAGUGACCUCAAAAUAUUGCAGGACCAAAAAGAACAUGCCUUUUUAACAUUGAUAAGAGUAGCAGGCAUUUAGAUGAAACAAGAUAUGAUUUUUCAUUGCAAAGAGCAUGAAGCACAAAAUUUUUAACAGAAAGAUGGGUUGGCUCUUUAUUUGUUUCUGCUAUAUAUUGACAAACUGUGCCAACUUAACGUGAUUGCUAUAUUUAAUUAUGUACUAAAGUAAGUUUAAUGAAUUAGAUUAAUAUAAAAGAUGUUUAAUGAUUCCAUAUGUGACAUCCAAAACGGCUUUGCACUGAUAAAAUAAAUUGGUAUUAGGUCAUUUUAUUAUCUCUAUUUCCUCAUCUAAAAACUAAUCACAUGUAAUAGAGCAUAUAGAUGUUUCUCAUGAAUUAUUAGUUGACUUCAUAGAGAAAAUGAUGAAAUCUAUUACCACUUAUAGACUUGUUGUUAAUGAUAGAUUAUUACACUUAAUUUGUUUUAUUUCAAAGAACAACUACACUUGUUUUGUUUACAGAACUACUACACUUUUGAUCCUCAAUAUGCCACUGAAGAACAAGCACGUGCCUCUAUUAUAGAGCAUAUGCGUGACAACAUGCGAAAGAUUCUUAGUGAAGAAAAGGCUCGGGUUGACAAGAAGAUUCGAAAAGAUGGUGGAGAUUAUCUUAAUCACAGACCUAAAUAUUUGAAACCUAAAGUUUGGGAAAAAUUUUGUGAGUACUGGAACAGUGAUCAAUUUAAAAAGAGAUCUGCCUCUGCUAAAGCCGCCAGAGGACAUGUCAGGACCCCUCACACCUCUGGCUCUUAUACAUUUGACCGUCGUCGUAGGGUAUGAAUUGAUAAUAUAAUUUACUUUUUUAAUUAUAAUGUGUUUUACAUUGCACUACAUUUGACUUUGUGUUUUGAUGUUUUGCUUUAUCAUAUAGAACUACAAAGAUGAACAUGGUGUAGAGCAAGAGAUUAUUGAUCACUUUAUAGAAACACAUACAUUGCGGAAAAAGAGGAAGAGUGAGCAGAUUUCCAAGAAAGCAAUUGACGAUAUCGUUGUAAGUUUUAAUAUUUAAGUUUUUUACAAUUACUUAAAAGAAACAUAAAUCAUCCCUAAAUUAUAUAUAAAUAGGACUUGAAUAUUAGAUCACUGCUAAAUUAAUUUUAAAAGGACAUAAUUUAUUAUAUCUUUCAUUAUAUUAUAGGAGUAAUAGUUGUUACCUGUAAGAUUUAGUAGGUAUGUUGUUUCUUUGAAUAUCUGAAGAUAUUAAAAUGAAUUUGAUGAGAAUGAGAGCUUUUAUAGAAGAUUACUUGUACCAUUGGAAUGCUUAGAGAGAUUCUGGUAAAAAAUUUACAUGUUCAUGUCCCACAAAAUAAUAUAUACUUUUCUUGCCUACUUUGAUUGUAUUUUACUUGUUCAGUGACCUCAGGAUUCCACAUUUCUGCUUUUCCAAUCAUUGGCCCCUUCAGCAUUUUGUUUUCAUUGGCUUCUGAGAUACCAAUUAUUUUCCGUUUAUCAAGUGCAAUAUAUAUUUAUAUAACUAAAAAUCUGCAAUAUAUUAUUAUCAGCUAGCAUAUUGAUUUUGUAUUCUUCAAGUUUUCUUAUCCUAUAUGGGAGAAUAAUGUCAAGUCACUGUAGAAUUCUGAGGAUAUAAGUAUCUUAACAAAACAAACAUUCUUGAUUUUAAUUAGGACAAAAAAGAGUAGAAAUAUCAGAUCAUCGUGUAAGGCAUUCAUAUAAUCAUAUAAUCAGCCUUACCAACAAUAACCUAACCCCACAACUUUUAUAUGUUAGUGAUCAACUUCUUAAAUAAUUAGAUACUAAAUAAUUUGUUUACAGAAGCGCUACUUGGAGAUAUGCGCAGAGAAGGGCAUCGAUCCUAAAAAAACUCAGAUUCGAAGUUGGAUAGAUGCUGUUGGUCUAAAGAAGAAUAAAAUUCUGGGAUUUCCUAAGCUUCGAGCUUCUGAUAUUAUCGGUAUGAUAAAAUUUUUAGUAAUUUACAUUUCUUGUAUUAAAAAUGAUAGCUGCAUUCAUAUAUUAUUUGUAAUCUCAUGUAUUUUUGCAUACUUGAACAGGCUAUAAGGGACGUAGGGCGACCAGAAAAGGUGAGGGAGGGUCGGGAAGAUCUACUCUCACUCGCCUACGCGAUGAUCUGCUUAUGCGUGUAGUUGAUGAAACCCUUGCCCAUGCUCGGUCACAUCCUCAAGAUUACCAACUAACUGCAGAUCAAAUUCAGCUUCUUGCACAAGAUUUUGUGGAUGGAGAGUCUCAUCUCCCUGCAGACCAUCCUAUUACGCAACAACUUCAGAACCAGAUCAUCCAGGUGAUGGUUGACGUACUCAAUCAUUUGUACAAGACGCAGGGUCCAGGCAAAGUAAAGGUAAACAUAUUAUGGAGUAUAAUUUAACAGUUGUCUACACCAUAUAAUUAUUUCAAAUAAUUGUUUCCUUUUAUUUUGUAGGGGAAAGCACAUGCUGAAGAUGAUGGUGAUGAUCAUGACGAGGGUGGUGGCGAUAGUGAUGACAAUGACAAUGAUGGCGAUGGCGAUGUUGGUUCCUGUAAGAGAUCUGAUGGUGCAAUUAGAAUCACAGGGUAGCUUACUUGGUUUUCAUUUUAAGUAAGAGAUAUUUUGGUAUUCUCUACAAGCUUUUGUACUCUUCAAAUGUAGUGGACAAGUAGCUAGCUCUUUAUGUUGUAUGAUAUCCACGAAACUUUGCUACUGUUGGUUUUGCUUUGUAUCUAAGUUUAACUUAAACUCGUGACUUUAUGGUAUUGUAAAUUAGUAGCUUUUCUUUCAAUUUCGGUUGUGUUGAUGGUUUAAUGCUAUAGCGGCUAGUUUAUUAUACAGAGGAUAUGUUUUAAUGUUUGGAAGUCUAUUUGGUAUUGCUGUUGUUUGUUGUUGAUUAGAGCCAAUUUGGCUGGGAAAUGAAAAAACAGGGUAAAGAUCUCUUUGGCAGGGCAAACUUCCAACAACAUGUCUGUCAAAAAUUCGCAAAAGAAGCUGUCAAAAGUUUAUACAUGUGACAGCCAUAAUCGUCGGAAUAACAUACUUUUGACCGCAGGGAGGUUACACAACAUUUGUUGGAAAUUAAUUCUUCUUACAUAUGAAUUUUGUAAGGAGAUAAUAUUUCUGACAAACAAUUACAGUCAGUAGGAAGUUCACAACUUAUGACAAGUUUUAUCUGUCAAAAGGUUGGUGUUAUUUUUUAAUGUAAAAUUAUUUUUAUUUAAUUUUCUUUUUUAUUUAAUUGUGAACUUCCGACAGAUAGGUUGUAAGAAUUUUGUUUUUGAUUUCUAUUAUUAUUUAAUAGAAAUUCAUUUAAAUAUGAAUAAAUUAUAUUUCUGACAAUGAUGUCCGUCAGAUGUUAAGUUUAAUACUAUAAUAUGCAUGAAGUAGGCCCCACAUUUAUCUUCCGACAAAACUGAAAUUUCCAACGAGUUUCAGAACUUUUGACUACAAGUUUUCCGACAAACGUAUCCUGUCGGAAGAAAGCAUUCUUCUGACAGAAUGCAGGCUAAAAUGGCUGUCGGAAAUACCUGUAUUUGGUGUAGUGAUUAUGAUUUAGCCUAUUAACCCUCAUGGAAAUGCUCGGUCUCCUCGGCACACUUCUGUCAAGUUUCACCAGGACCAUAUUUGAAAAAGGUCAGGGUGAUCAUUUUGGGUGCAACUUUAAUGUGUUUUAAUGAUCAAGCAUAUAACAAAUAAAUAUUAAUUCUGUGCGUACACAUAUACCUACAUAAACACAAUCAAUAUUCGACAGAGAUUUGUUAUCGAUCCGAUUGCAUAUUUACCUUAACACGCACAUUGUAUUCUUGCCCUCGGCAUCAUUUUCCAUAAACUUUGUUAUCAAUCCAUUGCAUAUAUAUAUAUAUAUAUAUAUAUAUAUAUAUAUAUAUAUAUAUAUAUAUAUAUAUAUAUAUAUAUAUAUAUAUAUAUAUAUAUAUAUAUAUAUACCUUCUAAUCAAAGGUACAUGUUAUGUUUACUUACAAUGUAUCUCGAAAAUGUGAACUUACAAGCAAUACAACCCUCUUGACAGGAAGUUGCCUUCUAUAUUAUAUCUGCAGCCCGGUGAUGUAUGCUUUUAUUCUUGCCGCUAAUUCUACAAAACACAAUCAGUUUCCUCUCGGGCUUAGUGAUGGUGGCGUAGUUGUUAAAGAACUUCGGAGGAUAUUGGAAAUGGCUAUGUAGCAUGCCUUAGCUUGAGACCAGCAACAAAUGGAAACUUGAUAUGAUUUUUUGUGAUAAUAAGAGCCUGGUGCUUGAUAUGAGCUUUUGUGAUAAUAAGAGCCUGGUGUCUCUUAAAAUCUGAAGGUUUUAGCACAUACAUAUACAGAUUGGAUUAGUGCAAGGGUUUUAAAGAUGUUUUUUUGCUUGACUAUGUUAACUGAUAAAUUUUCAACGGCAAUAUAUUUGUAGACGCACAAUUUGAAAUGAUAAUUGUCAAUAUAGUAUGAAAAUAACAAAAGAAAUCCAAUAUUGUGGCAUAUACAAUAUUUUACUUAUAAAGCGGGUAAUUAGGAGCUAGUAUCCAACCCAUUCAAAUAAAGCACAUGCCCACUAUCAUCCUGAGGUCCAACAUACAAACACCCUCAUAGAUGUACGAAAAUCACCAACACUUAUUAGACCUCUAAAUGGAUCAUAUCUCCCAUCCCAUUUGAGUAUUUUAGAUGGACAUGGAUUUAUUAAUUUCAAAAUAAUCGAAUCCAACAACAAUAAUCUAAUUAUUAAAAGGACCAUAUAUGGCUUUAGGUCAAUCCCAUCCGUCUAUGAUGGAACCCCAUCAUUAUAUGCAUAUAUAAAAGAAUAUUAAUAUAAUAUUUUAAUGAUUAUAUACUCAUUAUGCUUCUCCCGUCCUAUUUGUGUAUGUCACUAAUAGUUUUGUUUCGACUUAAUGUAGUCAAACUAAUAAGUUUAAUCAACAAUUACAUAUUUUAAAAAACCACAAAACUUUUUGGUAUAUAUUAUUCAAACGAAUAUUUGACCCAAGGAUAACUUAGAAUUUUCUAAAUUGGAUUAUGAAAUUGCAAAACAUAAUUAUUUAAUGGCAUAAAUACUUCCAAUUGACUAAGUAUGAGUCAAGGAUCCAUUGACAUAUAGUUCCAUAUUUUUAAAAAAAUAAAAGCCAUUUAAGCACAAUAACCGCGUCAAGUGUUAUUUUUACCCAAGACCUUGCUACUCCGGGUCAUAUAAUUGAAAUACAUCAAUCCGCAAUAUUAAUUAGUACCGGUUUUCCAAUCCAAGUGGUUAAUAAUGCACAUGAGUGUGAUGAUAUUGGCCUAUGCAGAUCUGUUAUGUGGAUCAUUAUUAUCCCUUAUGAAUUUCAAGGUACUCACUUUGAUUAAGGGGCUGGUAUUGUAUCACGACUUUUAAUGACAAAUUUUGGGAGGAUGAUUUUAAUGGAUUUUAUGAACUUUUAAUGAGUCUUGUUGACUUCUUUAGAUUUCAAAAAAAAAAUCAUGACUCCUAAGACAAUGACUUUUAAAAACUUUAACAGACUUUUUUCUACAAAUUCAUGACUUUCAAAUACUUUAAUAGACUUUUAUUUAAAUCNCAGACUUUUUUCUACAAAUUCAUGACUUUCAAAUACUUUAAUAGACUUUUAUUUAAAUCAUAAAUAGCCUCUCAGAAGCCCUCUACCCUCUGGACCUUUUUUCUUGGGUAGUUUAUUUGUGAAAAUGUAUGUAUAGCCAAAAAUGGACCACAUCUCAAAUCGGGUCAAGUUCAAAUUGUUAAAAUUGAUUCUGUUAUAAUACGAUCCGCUAAGCCUUAUUUGGACACCCCAGGGAGCAACGGUUCCUGGCCAUUAAGGGAAAAUCCUUCACGAAGGAGAUACAUUAGUUACAUUUAUAUAUGAAAAAUUGCGAUCUGGUGAUAUAACACAAGGCCUUCCAAAAGUGGAACAGGUAUUAGAAGUGCGUUAGAUUGAUUCAAUAUCGAUGAAUCUCGAAAAGAGGGUUGAGGGUUGGCAUGAAUGUAUAACAAGAACUCUUGAAAUUCCUUGGGUGUUCUUGAUUGGUGCUGAGCUAACUAUAGUGCAAAUCGCUUUGGUUAAUAAAAUCUAAAAGAUUUAUCCAUCCCGGAGUGAAGAUCCAUAAUAGACAUAUAGAAAUUAUUGUACGUCAAAUGAUAUUAAAAGUUUUGGUAUCAGAAGAUGUGAUGUCUAAUGUUUUUUACCCGAAACAAAGAAAUCAUAUGCAAUAACCAUGGCAUUUCGUGAUUUGUUGGUAAAUCCUCCUUGAUUCUCUAUCACCAAAAAUGGGGGACCAUUAACAUAAACUAUUGUUAAAGCUAAAUCGUUUGAAGUCCAGACGCAACAUGUUACUCUUUCUACCACUAUAUGUAUAAGAGAUGUUUUCAAAACGCCAAAUUGUAACGAAGAUUUUAGUUUAUUAACGUUAUUAACAAUGAAAAAUCCUGGAAUUCCUCUUCUUUUUUUUAAAAAAAUGUAUCAAAUUGAUCAGAAUGCAAGAAACAUCACAGAACCCUUUAUUACUAUUACCCGUACUUUAUUGCUUAGUCUAUUAAUUUUGGAUUCAGUAUGGAUAAAAGAUCUUCCUAUGAUAUACUAUUUAAUUCGCGACAACGAAUUUAUUUGAUAGCGAACGAAUUCGAUUUGGUUAUUAGUAAGGCUGAAGUCAGCGAGGGUCUUGCCAUGAAAGCAUCAAAACCUCGAGUUCGAGGGUGUAGUUUUACGAUAAAACGACCUACUUGCCGUAUAGCUAUUGUUGUGAAAGAUAUAUAAUUAGAUGAAUAUCAAUAUCUAGGGUUAGACUUUACAGACACUUUCGGAUGCUCAAAAAAACUUAAAUCGAUUGGGAUAAAGUUUUAUAUAUAUUUUUUUACAAUUUGACCAAUUUGAAUAUUAAAAUGUGUUCAAUAGUGGCAUAUAGUUAUUAUGAGUGUGGUAAAUGAGUGCUUCACUCCUUUAGUUAUAGCACUAUGUAAAAUUAUGUUUCCGUAGAUGAUAGUAAUCAUAUAUUUCCUUAUAAUUUGUAUCUUCAAUGGAACUUUCAUUAGUAGAAUUAUUAUGAUAUAAUUUCUUUCUUAAUCUUAUAUAUUCAAUAACAAGUAUCCAAUUAUAUGAUCAAUAUUUUCGACAAUUUUGAUCAAAUUUACCUCCUAAAUUGCUAGCUAGAGGCCAUCCAAUAUAAUUUUAUAGAAAAAUGUUUUGAUUGAUUAUAUUAGAGAGAAAAUGAACACUUCUAAAAUCAAAUAUUGUUUUGAAUAAAAUGAUUAGUGUAAUUUAAUUUUGAAUACAUCAUCAUAAUAACUUGUAAUAUGUAAGUUUUCCUAGUCUUUAUUGAUCCUAAUGUAUUUGAUCUCAUUCUUGUAUCUAUUAUUUUAAUUAACACCAGUCAAUAUGGUGCCCUCGUGCUAGUAAUUAUCUAAAGAUUGUGGGUUGCAAUGCGAAGAGGUUCUAAUGAUAUUAUUUACAUUCAUUCUAAGAAUUUGUACAAUAUUAGGUAGGUAGAGUAUUUAGGUCGGUUAGAAAAUUUGCAAUUCUAAUUAUGGAAGAAAUUUUAGACUUUAAUUUAUACGAUAGGGUUAAUACCUUAUAAAUUAACUUUAAGGAAAGUGUUUCUACCUUAUAGAUAUUAGUGUAAUUUUAAAAAUAAGGAAGGCCGAAUUGUUCAUUUUUAGUGUAAUUUACAAAUAAAACAUAAUAUUCACAUAAAUGUAGACUUAUAGUUCUUACAUUUUACUCACUCUUCCCUUUUUAGUUGUCCCCCAUUUGGUUUUGUGCCAGUCAAAUUGACCAAAGGACGGAGAGAGUAAUAUUUUUAAGUGGCGUUAUUCCAUAUCUACUAUAUGUAUUAUAAAGGUUAUUUAAUCAUGAGAAAAUUCUUUCAUUUAAAAAGACUAUCUAACCCUUUUCAACACUGCUUGAGCCAAAGCAGAACUUUUUAUUUAAAAUGACUGCUUUAUCCUUCAGGAGCUGAUUCGAACCUAGUUCCUAACCUUGGCUUUCAGAAGCAAUGUUCAUUUCACCCAGUUCAUGCUCGACUCCUUCAGUCUUCCACACCCACACUGAAGCACUGAUUCCACGAUGAUUAAGAGAAGUGAAUUUAUCUGAUUAACAAGUUUAUGUAUCUAGCUAUCUGAUUGUUUUAGAAUAUCUGUUAAUUCUUCAUUUUGUGUGCUUUUUCGGUUUAUAUGUUCUGUUGUCGGCCCUGGAUGUUUGGAUUUUUGUUGUUUUUUUGUGUAAAUUAGGGUUUCGUGUGAUACGAAUGUGUUGUUUUUGUUCAUAAGUCCGGUUGAUUUGUGCUUGUGAUAGAUUUGUGCUUGUGAUUAAUUCGUGUUCUAAAUGUUAAUUUGAGAACCAAAUGAAUUUAUAAGAAUUGAAAACCUUCAGGUUUGUAUAGUUGUAACAGGUGAUUGGGAUGCAAUUCAGUUUUGAUAUGUAUUUCAAACGGAUUACUGAUAUGCAUCUGAGCAAAGAGUCGGGAUUACUGAUAUAAAUUUGUGUUCAACCUUCUCAGGUGAUCAGUAACAAGAAGUUACCCAAAUGAGGAUUCAUUAGACAAAUUCAUGGAGGUGAUAUUCAUUCCGAAUCUCGUCAUUUACGGCCAAUAUUAUAAAAUCCUGUGUCACUCAUUUCCUGCAAGUUGUAUCUUAACUAGAAUCAGUUUGUGUUAAUCAUGUUAAAUUGAAACCAUUUUCAGAGUGAUAGAAGAAUAUGUGGCAGAUUGAUUUGUUCUGUAGCCAAAGAAUCUCCACAGCAAGUCACCUGAUUAUUGUUUUGGCACUGUAAGAUACCUUAGCUCCUCAUCUGGAAUGUCUAAACUGCUUGAACAUACAAUUUGUGAGCUUCCAUAUAUAUUCGAUAUAUGAAAUUACGUACUUGAGUUGUUGCAUAUGCAUGCCAGUUCAUGCUCAGGUGGAUCUUAAAUUUACACUAGGUGAAGAACAAACAGUUGGCUGCUCCAACGUAAGUGUUCAUUCAAGAGUCGAAGGUAUCACUAACAACUAAUUCUUCUUCAGUAUUUGGAUAUUCUCAGAUUAUCUGGCUUGCCACAAUCAAGAGUUUGCUAUAACGAGUAAGCUUUAAACUGAGUAGAAGUAUAGAACAACUUGAGCUGAUUUUUUUUAUAGCAGUUUAGAGACUUUAAAAUACAGAUUUUCCUGAUAUACACAGGUUGUGUUUCUCGGUUGGUCUUAAAUGGUGAUGAUCACAAUUAAGCUGCUCUUAGUGAAGGUCGAAUUGCAAGGAGCUGAAGGUUUAGGGUUCUUUGCCUUUUUUUAGGUCAAUUCUUGUAGUCUAGUGUUUAGCAAUUAGCUUUGUACUUCUGUUGCUUUUGAUAUUUUCUGAUUCUGUUUCUGCAAGGUUGAACUUGAACAUUUUACCCUAUACUAGAACAGUCUGAUACACAUGAGUAUUAAAGAAAUAUUGAGCUUCAUCCAUCUAAUUCCCAGAACCUAUUAUUGUAUGAAUGUGUUUCCUAACACUAUAAUUACAUACACAGGAGGGUGACUUCCAGAUGGAUUCACCGCAUCUCUGAUUCUCCCUUUGCUUCCAAACAGUAAAUUUAAACUGAAAAUUAUUACUGAGAUAUGCCCAUCGAAGAACACGACAUUAGAUGUUUGUUACUUUAUUCCCUCUCCUCAAGUAUUUGCAUAUGCUUUCUAUAUAUGAAUCUUCUUCUGUUAUUAUGUUUUUUGUCUUUUGACAAUAUUAGUUCUGAAUAUUUGAUGCAGGGUCUUUACCGGUCACCAGAAAUUUCAUCACACAAUGUGAAACAGCGAAUUUUCGGAAAAUCCUAAUUGUCGUAGUGUAUAUGAUGUAAAAACUCUUCAAUGUCAUGAGCCUGAUCAAGUGCCCCUCAUUUCAAUGAUCCAGUGAUACACUGUAUCACUUUGGUAUCUCUGCUCCUUAUUUUAUCUGGCCUUUAACAUAGGAAUUUCAUUGGGUUACUGAUUCUGCAGAUAUUGAAGAUAGACUUUCCAAAGCAAUAGUGUCAUUUGACAUUGAAGAUGAACAAUUCAAUUUUUUUUACAUGGAUGGAUCCACCUAAAAUUCCUCUUGAAGAGCGAGUGAUUAUCGAUACAUUAAAUGACUCACUUUCACUGGUUGUUCCUCACAAAAGUUUUCUAAACUCNAUAUUCGAUAUAUGAAAUUACGUACUUGAGUUGUUGCAUAUGCAUGCCAGUUCAUGCUCAGGUGGAUCUUAAAUUUACACUAGGUGAAGAACAAACAGUUGGCUGCUCCAACGUAAGUGUUCAUUCAAGAGUCGAAGGUAUCACUAACAACUAAUUCUUCUUCAGUAUUUGGAUAUUCUCAGAUUAUCUGGCUUGCCACAAUCAAGAGUUUGCUAUAACGAGUAAGCUUUAAACUGAGUAGAAGUAUAGAACAACUUGAGCUGAUUUUUUUUAUAGCAGUUUAGAGACUUUAAAAUACAGAUUUUCCUGAUAUACACAGGUUGUGUUUCUCGGUUGGUCUUAAAUGGUGAUGAUCACAAUUAAGCUGCUCUUAGUGAAGGUCGAAUUGCAAGGAGCUGAAGGUUUAGGGUUCUUUGCCUUUUUUUAGGUCAAUUCUUGUAGUCUAGUGUUUAGCAAUUAGCUUUGUACUUCUGUUGCUUUUGAUAUUUUCUGAUUCUGUUUCUGCAAGGUUGAACUUGAACAUUUUACCCUAUACUAGAACAGUCUGAUACACAUGAGUAUUAAAGAAAUAUUGAGCUUCAUCCAUCUAAUUCCCAGAACCUAUUAUUGUAUGAAUGUGUUUCCUAACACUAUAAUUACAUACACAGGAGGGUGACUUCCAGAUGGAUUCACCGCAUCUCUGAUUCUCCCUUUGCUUCCAAACAGUAAAUUUAAACUGAAAAUUAUUACUGAGAUAUGCCCAUCGAAGAACACGACAUUAGAUGUUUGUUACUUUAUUCCCUCUCCUCAAGUAUUUGCAUAUGCUUUCUAUAUAUGAAUCUUCUUCUGUUAUUAUGUUUUUUGUCUUUUGACAAUAUUAGUUCUGAAUAUUUGAUGCAGGGUCUUUACCGGUCACCAGAAAUUUCAUCACACAAUGUGAAACAGCGAAUUUUCGGAAAAUCCUAAUUGUCGUAGUGUAUAUGAUGUAAAAACUCUUCAAUGUCAUGAGCCUGAUCAAGUGCCCCUCAUUUCAAUGAUCCAGUGAUACACUGUAUCACUUUGGUAUCUCUGCUCCUUAUUUUAUCUGGCCUUUAACAUAGGAAUUUCAUUGGGUUACUGAUUCUGCAGAUAUUGAAGAUAGACUUUCCAAAGCAAUAGUGUCAUUUGACAUUGAAGAUGAACAAUUCAAUUUUUUUUACAUGGAUGGAUCCACCUAAAAUUCCUCUUGAAGAGCGAGUGAUUAUCGAUACAUUAAAUGACUCACUUUCACUGGUUGUUCCUCACAAAAGUUUUCUAAACUCAAGCUUUUAUAUAUGGGUGAUGGAUGACUAGGGGAAAUAGGUAUCUCUUGGACUAGGCGAUACAUCACCCGUCUAUAAAAGCUUGAGUUUAGAAAACUUGUGUAAGGAACAAUCACUGAAAGUGAGUCAUUUAAUGGAUCGAUAAUAACUGGCUUUUGAAGAGGAAUUUUAAAAGGAUCUAGCUAUUAAAAAAAAUUGAAUUGUUCAUCUUCAAUGUCAAAUGAAACUACUGCUUUGGAAAGUCUAUCUUCAAUACCUGCAGAAUCAGUAACCCAAUGAAAUGCCUAUUUUAAAGGUCAGAUGAAAUAAUGAGCAGAGAUACCAAAGAGUAUCAGUGGAUCAUUGAAAUGAGGGGCACUUGAUCAGGCUCAUGACAUGGAAGAGUUGUUACAUCAUGUGCACUACGACAAUUAGGAUAUUGGACAAAUGAUCUUCCUAUAAUGACAACAUAUGAGAGCAUUUUUUUUUUAUGACCCUAAAAUCCAGGAACGGAAGAACACUCCAGUUUUUUGUAUUUCACUACAUUCCGCCAUUAUGUUGAAACUUUGGAAACAGUCACCUGGGAUAUUGAAUAUUCAGGAAGGGCUGUCCAGUGAUGUAAUUCCCUGCCCUUGCAUAGUGUAUCUAUUAACACUGCAUGAUCUAAUAUCUCUGAAGCAUUGUUGAAGAAUAUUAAAUUAUAACAUCCGGUUAAAAAUAUGAAAGGAAAUAUCUCCGUAAUAGUUUCAAAAUGUUACCGGCGGUUUAACACUAACUAAUGCUGCUUUUGUGAGCUUUUUCUACUUUACUUUGUAUAGCACACACUGUUCAGUUAAAGCAAUGGGGCUUUAGGGAGCUUAAUUUGCUCUAAUUUGCUUUGUAGCGCACACACUAUUCACUAAAACCUAAUGAGGCUUUUGGGAGGUUUGCUCUCUUUUGUAUUGUAGGGCACACACCAUGUUGAGUAAAAACUAAUGUAACAUGUGAUGGGAGCACAACGAUUUUUUGAAGUUGAUUACUAUUAGGUACAUAUUCUAUCAUGAGUAACCACCACGACAAUAAUGUCUGCAUUCCAUAUUUUAUAUAUAUAUAUUCGAAAUGAUAUGUCUUGUGUUGACUUAAUUUUUUUGGACCUAACCUACGUUGUGGUUGNCCUAUUAUUGUAUGAAUGUGUUUCCUAACACUAUAAUUACAUACACAGGAGGGUGACUUCCAGAUGGAUUCACCGCAUCUCUGAUUCUCCCUUUGCUUCCAAACAGUAAAUUUAAACUGAAAAUUAUUACUGAGAUAUGCCCAUCGAAGAACACGACAUUAGAUGUUUGUUACUUUAUUCCCUCUCCUCAAGUAUUUGCAUAUGCUUUCUAUAUAUGAAUCUUCUUCUGUUAUUAUGUUUUUUGUCUUUUGACAAUAUUAGUUCUGAAUAUUUGAUGCAGGGUCUUUACCGGUCACCAGAAAUUUCAUCACACAAUGUGAAACAGCGAAUUUUCGGAAAAUCCUAAUUGUCGUAGUGUAUAUGAUGUAAAAACUCUUCAAUGUCAUGAGCCUGAUCAAGUGCCCCUCAUUUCAAUGAUCCAGUGAUACACUGUAUCACUUUGGUAUCUCUGCUCCUUAUUUUAUCUGGCCUUUAACAUAGGAAUUUCAUUGGGUUACUGAUUCUGCAGAUAUUGAAGAUAGACUUUCCAAAGCAAUAGUGUCAUUUGACAUUGAAGAUGAACAAUUCAAUUUUUUUUACAUGGAUGGAUCCACCUAAAAUUCCUCUUGAAGAGCGAGUGAUUAUCGAUACAUUAAAUGACUCACUUUCACUGGUUGUUCCUCACAAAAGUUUUCUAAACUCAAGCUUUUAUAUAUGGGUGAUGGAUGACUAGGGGAAAUAGGUAUCUCUUGGACUAGGCGAUACAUCACCCGUCUAUAAAAGCUUGAGUUUAGAAAACUUGUGUAAGGAACAAUCACUGAAAGUGAGUCAUUUAAUGGAUCGAUAAUAACUGGCUUUUGAAGAGGAAUUUUAAAAGGAUCUAGCCAUUAAAAAAAAUUGAAUUGUUCAUCUUCAAUGUCAAAUGAAACUACUGCUUUGGAAAGUCUAUCUUCAAUACCUGCAGAAUCAGUAACCCAAUGAAAUGCCUAUUUUAAAGGUCAGAUGAAAUAAUGAGCAGAGAUACCAAAGAGUAUCAGUGGAUCAUUGAAAUGAGGGGCACUUGAUCAGGCUCAUGACAUGGAAGAGUUGUUACAUCAUGUGCACUACGACAAUUAGGAUAUUGGACAAAUGAUCUUCCUAUAAUGACAACAUAUGAGAGCAUUUUUUUUUUAUGACCCUAAAAUCCAGGAACGGAAGAACACUCCAGUUUUUUGUAUUUCACUACAUUCCGCCAUUAUGUUGAAACUUUGGAAACAGUCACCUGGGAUAUUGAAUAUUCAGGAAGGGCUGUCCAGUGAUGUAAUUCCCUGCCCUUGCAUAGUGUAUCUAUUAACACUGCAUGAUCUAAUAUCUCUGAAGCAUUGUUGAAGAAUAUUAAAUUAUAACAUCCGGUUAAAAAUAUGAAAGGAAAUAUCUCCGUAAUAGUUUCAAAAUGUUACCGGCGGUUUAACACUAACUAAUGCUGCUUUUGUGAGCUUUUUCUACUUUACUUUGUAUAGCACACACUGUUCAGUUAAAGCAAUGGGGCUUUAGGGAGCUUAAUUUGCUCUAAUUUGCUUUGUAGCGCACACACUAUUCACUAAAACCUAAUGAGGCUUUUGGGAGGUUUGCUCUCUUUUGUAUUGUAGGGCACACACCAUGUUGAGUAAAAACUAAUGUAACAUGUGAUGGGAGCACAACGAUUUUUUGAAGUUGAUUACUAUUAGGUACAUAUUCUAUCAUGAGUAACCACCACGACAAUAAUGUCUGCAUUCCAUAUUUUAUAUAUAUAUAUUCGAAAUGAUAUGUCUUGUGUUGACUUAAUUUUUUUGGACCUAACCUACGUUGUGGUUGGCCAUGUAUUUUUCGGUCAUGCAUAAUUGAUACUAUAUUUUUUGAUCUUUUUAUCUAAAAAAAUUUCUUUCCUUCUCUUUUUAUUUUUCAAAUACUUUGAUUCACAUGUAUAUUUUUGAUGUGAUUUAUCUCUUGUAAUACUACCCAUUUACAGUUUGUAAAACUAGUUAUUACUAUUCUACACUUUUACUACAAUCAGACUAUGGAAAAAAACUUUUCCCGACCACCUGCUGCAACUUCAGUUAUGUUCUAUCCUGAGGAAAAUAAUAUCGUUAUCAUCAGCAGGGAGGAUGGCUCUAUACUAAUCUAUUGUCUUCAGAAAGAGAUGGUCUUUAUCUAUAUAUACUGAUAUCUAAGUGUUGUGCAUCAAAAAUGAAUCAUCAUUUAGCUAUUAAGUUCCUUGUUAUCUAUUUGGCUUAUAUAGAUGAUUGCCGAGAUAACGAUCAGAGUGACUGGCCUUGCCUAUUCUAGUGCAUUAAAUAUCCUUUUAUCGUCUGGAUAAGAUGCUCAGGUACAUUUUUAAAGUGGAAGGCUAAUAGAAGAUAUCAGAUUGUUCGGCACAUUUCUGUCAAGUGUCACCAGGACCAAAGACAUUUGUUAGUUGUACAUGAAAGCUGUAUAGCCACUCCCUAGGGACCUAACCUCGAGCCCUGCAAGCAGGUAUCUGCAAAUUAUUUGCAGUGUUGACAAUUAAUUUGUAUGCUUUGUUGAAUAUCACAACAUGCUUCACCCACGCUUUAUUAGACCUUAUUUGAAAGAGGUCGGGGUGAUCAUUUUGGGUGCAACUAUAAUGUGUUUUAAUGAUCAAGCACAUAACAAAGAUAUAUUAAUUGUGUGUGUACAUAUAUACCUACAUGAACACAAAUCAUAUUUGACAGAACUUGACAUUGAUUUUUCUAAAAUAGCCCCUGGUGCAAUAUCAUGUACAUGUCGCUCUGCUAUUGAGAGAUCUAAGUUCUUAAUGACAGAAGAAAAUUCUCAAGCUCUUUAAAUAUUUCUUGCAGAGUGCAGUAGAUUCCUGGGGAAUUGAUCAGUGAUGCUGCAUAUAUAUUCAUGUGAUGACCAGUCCAUAUAUGCCUGCCUUUUUAAAAGGCACAUUGUUAAUUUUCUUGGACUCGGCAUCUUUGACCAAAAAGUUUUUAUAUCAACAACUGAGAACUUGAUAUGAGCUUUUGUCAUAAUCACAGCCCAGUGUCUCCUUGAAAUCUAUAUGUUCUAAAACAUACAUCUGGGGAUUGGAUUCGUGCAAGAGUUCUGAAGUUUUUUUUUGCUUGACUAUGUUAAGUGAAAAAUGUUCAAUGCAAAUAUACACGUAGUGAAGAAUUUGAAAUAAUAAUUGUCAACAGAGUAUGAAAAUGAGAAAAGAAAGCCAAUAUUUUGGCAUAUAAUACAAUGUUUCACUUAUACCACCCGUAAUUUUCAAUGCAAAUAUACAUGUAGCUGCCCAAUUUCAAAAGAGAAUUAUUAAAACAAAUAUGCAAAUAUUCAUGCUUGACUAUGUUAAUUGUAUUUGUUUUAAUUUGAAUAUACAUGUAGAAGCAAAAUAUGAAAUGAGAACUGUCAACAUAGUAUGAAAUAUGAAAAUAAUAAAAGAAACCCAAUAUUUUUGUAUUCGGAGCGUGUGACACGACACAUUUCCGAGUAUCGGAUUUGGCAUUAUCGAAAAUUCUGGACACAGUUAUAAUGUCCAAAUUAAUUGUGGACAUGGAUACGGGGACACAACGAAUUUUAAAAUAAUUAUUUAUUUUCAUUUGAGAAAUAAAUAAAAGAAUAUAUAUUUCAUUAUUUUUUAGUUGAAAAUGUGCAUUUGAUUGAUUUAUAAACUACAAAAAUUAACAACUAUUACAGAUGUAUUUAACAGUUUUCUUGCCAAUAUUCAUGUAAAGCAAAAAUUGUGCAUAGUAAAGUAAAAGAAAGUGAAAAAGGAAAACAGCUGGAUAAUGAAUGUAUACUUAAAGAAGUCUAGAUACAUUUGUAAUAUAUAAUACAUCUCAAUACAUGUAUUCCUCGAUCUUUUCACCCUUUUACUAUCAUCUUCUUCAUUUCUCUCCACCUUUUCACCGCUUCUUAUCUUCUUGAAGCCUAUAAAAGGCUGCUGCUCUGCAUAAAAAUAUUGUACUGAGUUUGAAAACCAGAAAAAUAAAACAAAAGAGCCGAAGCUCUAAUCAAGUUGUAGCUUUGAGUUGGUGAAAUAAAAAGUGUGUGUUUGUUUGUUAUACAGCCUAUACAUAUUAAUAUUGCCUGUGUUUAAAUACUUAUAAGGUCCAUUUCGUUUCCAACAAGUGGCAUCAGAGCUAGGUUAUUUCGGAGAAGAAAAAAAUGUCAAAUAUGAUGGCGCAACCACAAAUCCCAAAGUUGACGGCAACAAAUUACGGGAACUGGAGUAUCCAAAUGAAGGUGUUACUCGGUUCAUACGAUAAUUGGGAUAUUGUCGAAAGUGGGUAUGACGAGCCCGAGGAUGAAGCCGUUCUUUCUGAUGCGGAGAAAACGGCGUUAAAAGAUUCCAAGAAAAAAGACCAAAGGGCGUUAUAUACAAUUAUUCAAGGAGUUGAUGAGUCAACCUUUGAAAAAAUUUCAAAUGCAAAAACGGCGAAAGAUGCGUGGGAGAUUUUGCAGAAAUCAUUCCAGGGUGUCGAGAAAGUCAAAAAGGUUCGGCUCCAAGUUCUACGUGGGGAGUUCGAAAAUUUGAAGAUGAAGAGUUCUGAAAAUAUUGGUGAAUUUGUUACACGUUUGAAAACGGUGACAAAUGAGAUGAAAAGAAAUGGAGAAAGUCUCGAUGAUGUUCGGGUCAUGGAAAAGUUGCUCCGUUCAUUAACAAGAAAAUUUGAUUAUGUUGUGACAUCCAUCGAGGAGUCAAAAGACCUAUCCACAAUUUCUAUUGAUGAGCUCGUAGGUUCUCUUCAAGCCCACGAGCAGCGAAUGAAUCAGUAUGAUGAUGCAAGCCAUUUGGAAAAGGCGUUGCAAAGUAAGGUGUCCAUUGGUGACAUUUCUAGAAGUAGCAGUUCUGCACGUGGCAGAGGUGGCUUUAGAGGUGGCUACCGUGGUGGACGAGGACGAGGAAGGUAGUCUUUCAAUAGAGGCCAGACAUCUGAAGGCUAUCAGCCAUCUGGUCGUGGUCAAAAUUUCAGAGGCCGAGGACGAGGCGGAUUUCAACAACGAGGUGAAAAGUCUCAGUUUCAAUGUUAUAAUUGUAAUAAAUUUGGUCACUUCAGUUAUGAGUGUAGAGCACCAAAAGUGGAAGAAAGGAGUCAUUUUGCUGAAGCAAAAGAAGAUAAAGAUGUUGGCUCUGCUAUGUUUCUCACUUACAAAGGAGAUGAAGAAGGCAAGAAAAAUACAUGGUAUCUUGACUCGGGAGCCAGCAAUCACAUGACUGGUCAUAAGGAAUUAUUCACGGAGAUAGACGACACCAUUAGCGGAGAAGUUACUUUUGGUGACUCGUCAAAGAUUCCGGUCAAAGGAAAAGGUACCGUCACGAUCAUGACAAAGAGAGGUGAAAAGAAAUAUGUAAAUGAUGUUUAUUAUAUUCCUGCACUGAAAAAUGAUAUUAUCAGUCUUGGUCAACUUGUGGAGAAAGGAUAUAAUAUACAGAUGCAAGACAAUUCCCUCAUUAUCAGAAAUCAAGCUCGGGAAUCGAUUGCAAAUGUGGAGAUGUCGAAGAAUCGUUUGUUUACGCUUGAUAUGCAAACGAAGAUGCAAAAGUGUUUAAAGUCGGUCAUUAAAAAUGACUCGUGGUUGUGGCACUUGAGAUAUGGUCAUCUUGGAUUUUCUGGCCUGAAAUUAUUGUCAAAGACAAAAAUAGUGAACGGCUUGCCAGAAAUCAACGAACCACAAAAUUUGUGUGAAGCAUGUAUAAAGGGGAAGCAACAUCGACAAAGUUUUCCCGUUGGAAAAUCAUGGAGAGCUAGGAGGCCAUUGGAGAUAGUUCACACAGAUAUUGCUGGUCCAUUUGAUAUCUCAUCACUUGGAGGUAAUAGAUAUUACCUAACAUUUAUUGAUGACUUUAGCAAGAAAAGUUGGGUGUAUAUCAUCAAAGAAAAGUCGGAGGCUCUUGAUAAAUUCAAGGAGUUCAAAGCACUGGCAGAAAAGCAAAGUGGUCAUUAUUUGAAGAUACUCAGAUCAGACAGAGGAGGCGAGUAUACUUCUAAUUUGUUCAGAAAUUUUUGUAGAGCACAUGGAAUCAAUCAUCAGUUGACAACAGCAUAUACUCCUCAACAAAAUGGUGUUGCAGAAAGAAAGAAUCGCACUAUUCUUGACAUGGCAAGGAGCAUGGUGAAAGCAAAGCACUUGCCAAGAACUUUUUGGGCCGAAGCCGUGUUAUGUGCCGUUUAUUUGUUGAAUUGCUGUCCUACAAAAAGUGUCAGAAACAAAACUCCAAAUGAAGCAUGGAGUGGGAGCAAACCAUCUGUGGGACAUCUCAGAAUUUUUGGGUGUACUGCAUAUGCCCAUGUUCCUAAUCAGAAAAGGAAGAAGUUGGAUGAUAAAGGCGAGAAGUGCAUAUUUACCGGAUAUGACAAAAGGAGCAAGGCGUACAGACUCUAUAAUCCCCUGACGAAGAAUUUAAUCAUUUCUCGAGAUGUUGAGUUUGAUGAAUCAGAUUACUGGAGAUGGAGUGAUGAAGAAAGAAAAGUUGCUGGUUUAUUUCUCAACGAUGAUCAUGAUGAUGAUGACGGUGAUGAUAAUGCCAACAUUGAAGCUGGGGGAGAUGAUGAUCCUACUCCUCCACAAAGUCUGAAUCAACAAACUCCCGCAUCAACACCAUCAGAUUCAAGUGGAAGCAGAAGUUCAGGGGGAGCACCAAGAAAAAUGCGGAGUCUGGAUAAUAUCAAUGAAGCAACGAGUCCGGUACAAACAACCGUUGAUUAUUCCUUAUUUUGUCUAAUGGCUGAAUGUGAUCCAGUUACAUUUGAGGAAGCUUCUGAAGAAAGCAUAUGGAACAAAGCCAUGGAUGAAGAAAUUGGUGCAAUAAAGAAAAAUGAUACUUGGGGAGCUCACAGAUCUUCCAGAAGUACACAAAGCAAUUGGUGUCAAAUGGGUCUACAAGACCAAGACGAAUCAGGAUGGAGAAGUGGAGAAAUACAAGGCGAGGCUAGUUGCUAAAGGCUACAAGCAAAGAUACGGGAUUGACUAUGAUGAGGUGUUUGCUCCAGUUGCACGAGUUGACACCAUCAGAAUUCUCACAGUAAUUGCUGCUCAAAAUCGAUGGAAGAUUUUUCAGAUGGACGUGAAGUCGGCAUUUCUAAAUGGUUAUCUCGAAGAAGAAGUCUACAUCGAGCAACCUCCAGGAUAUAUUCAGAAAGGCCAGGAAGAUAAAAUCUACCGGCUAAAGAAAGCAUUGUACGGUCUAAAACAAGCACCGAGAGCAUGGAACACAAGGGUUGAUGAGUACUUCCAGAAAAAUGGUUUUGUGAAGAGUCCAUACGAGCAUGCUCUCUACACGAAAACAAAUUCAGGGGGAGAUAUUAUGAUCGUUUGCUUAUACGUGGAUGACAUGAUAUUUACCGGAAACAAUCCUGGUAUGUUUGAUGAUUUUGAGAAAGUUAUGACUAAUGAAUUUGAGAUGACAGAUAUUGGUCAAAUGUCAUACUUUCUUGGAGUCAAUCAAAGCAAGGAUGGAAUUUUUAUGUCUCAGAAAAAAAUAUGCCGAGCAGAUUCUAAAGAAGUUUAGAAUGGGGGAAUGCAAGCUAGUGAGCACGCCAGCAGAAGCAAGCAUAAAGCUCAGAAUUGAUUCAACGAGGGAGUGGGUAAAUCCGACAUUGUUCAAGAGUUUGGUUGGAAGUCUAAGGUACCUAACUUUCACUCGUCCGGAUAUCAUGUAUGCAGUCGGAUUCGUUACUAGGUACAUGGAGAAGCCAAAGGAAGAUCACUUCAUAGCAGCUAAAAGAAUUUUGAGAUAUAUUAAAGGUACACUUGAUUAUGGUUUAUUUUACACUCAUUCUCAAGAUUCAAAAUUAGUUGGCUAUUCAGAUAGUGAUUAUGGUGGAGACUUGGAUGACGGGAAAAGCACAUCAGGAUAUGCUUUUCAUAUUGGUUCGGCUAUAUUCUCAUGGUCAUCAAAGAAGCAACAUACAGUCACUCUCUCAACAUGUGAGGCAGAAUACAUCGCAGUAGCAGCGUGCGCAUGUCAAGCUAUGUGGCUAGGCUAUAUUUUGGGCGAGUUAAAUCUUGCAAAGGAAGAACCGGUUACUAUUUUUGUAGACAACAAAUCCGCAGUUUCACUUGCGAAAAAUCCGGUGUCACACAGUUGCAGCAAGCACAUCAAUAUUAAAUAUCAUUUUAUUCGAGAAAAAGUUAACGAUAAAAUCGUGGAACUGGUGCACUGCAAGACCGAAGAAAAUUUGGCAGAUAUAUUCACGAAGCCGUUGAAGCCGGAUACGUUUCAGAAAAUGAAGAAGAAGCUCGGGAUGGAAAGUCGAGUUUGAGGGGGAGUGUUAGAAUUUCAAACUCUCCAGCUAGCAAUUUAUUAAUGGGUUGGCUUACGGUGCAUGCAUAAAUUAAGGUUGGCAGUAGAAAAAUAUAAUGUGAAAGAAUGACUGCAGGUAUGUAACUUCUGGACAACAUUAAAUGAAGUCAAAGAUGAUGGCUCCAGAUUUAUGAGUUGCAGCAACUAUACAAAGCAGGAGUAUUAGAUAAGCACAGCUGGGUGAAACAUCUGGAUGAUAAGAAGGUGAUGCAGCUGCUUAAAAGUUUAUGGAUGAUAUUGAAUGCUUAAUAUAUAAGUAAUUAUUAUAAGCUACGACAUGGCCUUGCACUAAACCAGGAGGAGUAAAUACUACAGGUCAUAGUCCAAAUUGCAGGCUGUAAUAUUAAAUAUGGUGUGAGGUAUGCAAUAAUGAUGUACGACGGUGAACUUGAAGCCUAUAAAAGGCUGCUGCUCUACAUAAAAAUAUUGUACUGAGUUUGAAAACCAGAAAAAGAAAACAAAAGAGCCGAAGCUCUAAUCAAGUUGUAGCUUUGAGUUGGUGAAAUAAAAAGUGUGUGUUUGUUUGUUAUACAGCCUAUACAUAUUAAUAUUGCGUGUGUUUAAAUACUUAUAUGGUCCAUUUCGUUUCCAACAGAAUUGAAGUUUGCUAAACAAUGAAGAAAAUGCUUCAAAACUAGGGGUAAGAAUGUCAGAUUAUUGAAUUAUACUACAAUCUUGAAAAAUAAAAAUUUUCACUGUACGUUUAUGCUAUAUACUGUUUGGUUAUUUCAGGGGUUUUUAUGAGUAUACAAUUGUUUACCAAGUACAGUGAAGCCAGGGGUACCCAUUAGCUCUAAGCAGUACAUGUUAUAACAUAUAAAACAAAGGCAAAAAGUUCUGCUCUCCUGCUGCCAAGAAGGCCGAUGUUGUUGACGUGGAGGCGUGAGAGUCGUUGGAUGUGAUCUGUUCUGCUAGUUUUUACUGUUUUAGUUUAAUGUGGUUAAUGGGAUGCAGGUCUAGGCUAGUAGUAGUCUAGUCAUAAAAGUUCAGUAUUUUGGGUGUUUAGAUGGAUGGUUAAAUUUGAACUUGAUAGACAGCUUUGUAUACAACCCUCUAGACAGGAAGUUGCUUUCUAUAUUAUAUCUACAGCCCGGUGAUGUAUGCUUCUGUUCUUGCGGCUAAUCCUACAAAACACAAUCAGUUUGCUCUCGGGCUUAGUGAUGGUGGCGUACUUGUUAAAAAACUUCGGAGGAUAUUGGAAAUGGCUAUGUAGCAUGCCAUAGCUUGAGACCAGCAACAAAUGAAAACUUGAUAUGAGCUUUUGUGAUAAUCAGAGCCGGGUGUCUCUUAGAAUCUGAAUGUUUUAGCACAUACAUGUACAGAUUGGAUUAGUGCAAGGGUUUUAAAGAUGUUUUUCUGCUUGGCUAUGUUAACUAAUAAAUUUUCAAUGCGAAUAUAUUUAUAGCCGCACAAUUUGAAAUGAUAAUUGUCAAUAUAGUAUGAAAAUAACAAAAGAAAUCCAAUAUUUUACUUAUAAAACCGGUAAUUAGGAGGUAGUAUCCAACCCAUUCUAAUAAAGCACAUGCCCACUAUCAGCCUGAGGUCGAACAUACAAACACCCUCGUAGAUGUACGAAAAUCACCAACACUUAAUAGACCUCUAAAUGGAUCAUAUCACCCAUCCGGCCAUUUGAGUCUAUUUUAAAUGGACAUGGAUUUAUUAAUUUCAAAAAAAUCGAAUCCAACAACAGUAAUCUAAUUAUUAAAUGGACCAUAUAUGGCUUUAGGUCAAUCCGAUCCGUCUAUGAUGGAACCCCAUCAUUAUAUGCAUAUAUAAAAGAAUAAUAUAAUAUUUAAUAAUUAUAUACUCUUUAUGCUUCUCAAGUCUUAUGUAUGUCACUUAUAAAACUCAAACAUUUAGAAAAAAUGAUAUUGGAAUACUUAUAAUUCUAUUUUUAUAAUAAUAGUUUCGUUUCGACUUAAUUUAGUCAAACUAAUAAUUUUAAUGAACAAUCACAUAUUUUAUAAAACCACGAAACUUUUUGGUAUAUAUUAUUCAAACGAAUAUUUGACCCAAGGAUAACUUAAAAAUUUUUUAAAUUGGAUUAUGAAAUUGCAAAACAUAAUUAUUUAAUGGCAUAAAUACUUCCAAUUGACUAAGUAUGAGUCAAGGAUCCAUUGACAUAUAGUUCCAUAUUUUAAAAAUAAAAAUAAAAGCCAUUUAAGCACAAUAACUGCGUCAAGUGUUAUUUUUACCCUAAGACUUUGUUACUCCGGGUCUUAUAACUGAAAUACACCAAUCCGCAAUAUUAGUACCUGCUCUCCAAUCCGAGUGGUUAAUAAUGCACGUAAGUGUGAUGAUAUUGGGCUAUGCAGCUCUUUUAUGUGGAUCAUUAUUAUCCGUUAUGAAUUUCAAGGUUCUCACUUUAACUAAAAUUAAGAAUUACGGGAUUCUCAUUCAGGGGACUAGACUACUCUAUAAUUUCAUAAUUUUUCUUGGGCAGUUUGUUUGUGAAAUUGCAUGUAUAGCCAAAAACGGACUACAUCUCAAAUCGGGUCAAGUUCAAAUUGUUAAAAUUGAUUUUGUAGUAAUACGAUCCGCUAAGCUUUAUUUGGCCACCCCAGGGAGCAAUGGUUCAUGGCCAUUAAGGGAAAAUCCUUCACGAAGGAGAUACAUUAGUUACAUUUACAUAUGAAAAAUUGCGAUCUAAUGAUAUAACACAAGGCCUUCCAAAAGUGGAACAUGUAUUAGAAGUGCGUUCGAUUGAUUCAACAUCGAUGAAUCUCGAAAAGAGGGUUGAGGGUUGGCAUGAAUGUAUAACAAGAACUCUUGAAAUUCCUUGGGGGUUCUUGAUUGGUGCUGAGCUAACUAUAGUGCAAAUCGCUUUGGUUAAUAAGAUCCAAAAGAUUUUUCCAUCCCGAAGUGCAGAUCCAUAAUAGACAUAUAGAAAUUAUUGUACGUCAAAUAAUAUCAAAAGUUUUGGUUUCAGAAGAUGUGAUGUCUAAUGUUUUCUUACCUGAAACAAAGAAAUCAUAUGCAAGAACCAUGGUAUUUAGUGAUUUGUUGGUAAAUCCGCUUUGAUUCUCUAUCAACCAAAAAUGGGGGACCAUUAACAUAAACUAUUGUUAAAGCUAAAUCAAUUGAAGUCCGACGCAACAUGUUACUCUUUCUACCAUUAUAUGUAUAAGAGAUGUUUUCAAAACGCCAAAUUGUAAUGAAAAUUUUAGUUUAUUAACGUUAUUAACAAUGAAAAAUCCUAGAAUUUUUCUUCUUUUUUCUUAAAAAAACGUAUCAAAUUGAUCAGAAUGCAAGAAACAUCACACAACCCUUUGUCACUGUUACCCGUACUUUAUUGCUUAGUCUAGCUUUAAUGGAAACUUUAACAAUUUAUGAUCUAAUUGUAGCAUUAGCACUUUUAUCUGCGAAUUCUUUUGCUCAAUUUAUAAUGUGAAGUUUAAAAGAAAAUCUUGUAUUCAAAGUAAUUUUGGAUUCAGUAGGGAUAAAAGAUCUUCCUAUGAUAUAUUAUUUAAUUCGCGACAACGAAUUUAUUUGAUAGCCAACGAAUCCGAUUUGGUUAUUAGUAAGGCCGAAGUCAGCGAGGGUGUUGCCACGAAAGAAUCAAAACCUCGAGCUCGAGGGUGUAGUUUUACGAUAAAAAGACCUACUUGCCGUAUAGCUAUUGUUGUGAAAGAUAUAUGAUUAGAUGAAUAUCAAUAUCUAAGGGGUAGACUUUAUAGACUCUUUCGGAUGCUAAAAAAAACUUAAAUCGAUUGGGAUAAAGUUUUAUAUAUUUUUACAAUUUCACCAAUUUGAAUAUUAAAAUGUGUUCAAUAGUGGCAUAUAGUUAUUAUGAGUGAGGUAAAAGAGUGCUUCACUCCUUUAGUUAUAGCACUAUGCAAAAUUAUGUUUCCGUAGGUGAUAGUAAUCAUAUAUUUCUUUAUAAUUUGUAUCUUCAAUGGAACUUUCAUUAGUAGAAUUAUUAUGAUAUAAUUUCUUUUUUAAUCUUAUAUAUUCAAUAACAAGUAUACAAUUAUAUGAUCAAUAUUCUCAACAAUUUUGAUUAAAUUUACCUCCUAAAUUGCUCGCUAGAGACCGUCCAAUAUAAUUUUAUAGCAAAAUGUUUUGAUUGAUUAUAUAUGAGAGAAAAUGAACACUUCUAAAACUAUAUAUUGUUUUGAAUAAAAUGAUUAGUGUAAUUUAAUUUUGAAUACAUCAUCAUAAUACUUGUAAUAUGUAAGUUUUCCUAGUCUUUAUUGAUCCUAAUGUAUUUGAUCUCAUUCUUGUAUCUCUAUUAUUUUAAUUCACGCGAGUCAAUAUGGUGCCCUGGUGCUAGUAAUUAACUAAAGAUUGUGGGUGGCAAUGCGAAGAGUAUUUAGGUCGGUUAUUUAAAUUCAUUUUAAGAAUUUGUACAAUCUUAGGUAGGUAGAGUAUUUAGGUCGGUUAGAAAAUUUGCAAUCUUAAUUAUGGAAGAAAUUUUAGACUUUAAUUUAUACAAUAGGGUUAAUACCUUAUAAAUUACAUUAGUGUAACUUUAAGGAAAGUGUUUUUACCUUAUAGACAUUAGUGUAAUUUAAAAUAUAAGAAAGAGACAUUAGUGUAAUUUAAAAUAUAAGACAGGCCGCAUAGUUUAUUUUUAGUGUAAUUUACAAAUAAAAUAUAAUAUUCACAUAAAUGUAGAAUUAUAGUUCUUACAUUUUACUCACGUCCCUUUUUAGUUGUCCCAUUUGGUUUUGUGCCGGUCAAAUUGACCAAAGUUUAACUGAUAUUUAUUAAUAUUUUAUCAACUGAUAAAAUAAAAAAAAAGUCAUAGGAAAGAACUUUUAAUUUACUUUAAGAUGUAAUUUUCAGUUUUUAAAAUAAUGAAAUAGUGGGUUAUAAUCUUUGGUAAAAAAAUUAGUCAAUUUGACCAAUAAAAAUUGAAAUGUGACCACUAAAAAGGGAGGGACUUAGGGAGUAAUAUUUUUAAGUGGCUUUAUUCCAUAUCUACUAUAUGUAUUAUAAAGGUUAUUUAAUUAUGAGAAAAUUCUUUCAGUUUAAAAAGACUAUCUAACCCUUUUCAACAGUGCUUGAGCGAACUUUUUAUUUAAAAUGACUGCUUUAUCCUUGAGGAGCUGAUUCGAACCUGGUUCCUAACCUUGGCUUUCGGAAGCAAUGAUCAUUUCACCCAGUUCAUGCUCGACUCCUUCAGUCUUGCACACCCACUGAAGCACUGAUUCCACGAUGAUUAAGAGAAGUAAAUCUAUCUGAUUAACAAGUUUAUGUAUCUAUCUGAUUGUUUUAGAUCUGUUAAUUCUUCAUUUUGUGUGCUUUUUCUAUUUGUAUGUUCUGUUGUCGCCGCUAGAUGUGUGGAUUUUUGUUUUUUUGUGUGUAAAUUAGGGUUUCGUGUGAUAUGAAUGUGUUGUUUUUGUUUAUGUCUGGUUGAUUUGUGCUUGUGAUUUAUUUGUGUUCUAAAUGUUAAUUUGAGAAGCAAAUGAAUUAAGAAUUGAAAAUCUUUAGGUUUGUAGUAGGCGAUUAAUUGGGAUGCAAUUCAGUAUUGAUAUAUAUGUAUUUCAAACGGAUUACUGAUAUGCAUCUGAGUAAAGAAUCGAGACAAGUAGCUAGUUACUUAAAUGAGGAUUCAUUAGACAAAUCCAUGGAGGUGAUAUUCACUCUGAAUCUCGUCAUUUACAGCCUGGAACUUAACUCUGAGUGUAAUAAUAUCUUUCUAUUGUAGGUAUCAAGUGGUAGAAAUUUAUAAAAUCCCGUGUCACUCGUUUCCUGCAAGUUGUAUCUUAACUAGAAUUAGUUUGUGUUAAUCAUGUUAAAUUGAAACCUUUCUUAGAGUGAUAUAAGAACUUGUCGCAGAUUGAUUUUUACUGUAGAAAGUCGAAGAAACGACCAUGGACAUGCGAAAGAAAUUUUUCUGAAAGACUACAAGUCACCUGAUUAUUGUUUGGCACUGUAAGAUACCUUAGCUCCUCAUCUGGGAUGUCUAAACUGCUUGAACAUACAAGUCACCUGAUUAUUGUUUUAGCAAUGUCAGCCUUGUACUUCUGUUGCUUUUGAUAUUUUCUGAUUCUGUUUCUGCAAGGUUGAACUUGAACAUUUUACCCUGUACUAGAACAGUCUGAUACACAUGAGUAUUAAAGAAAUAUUGAGCUUCAUCCUUCUAAUUUCCAGAACCUUUUAUUGUAUGAAUGCGUUUCCUAACACUAUAAUUACAUUCAGGAGGGCGACUUCCAGAUAUAUUCACGGCAUCUGAUUCUCCCUUUGCUUCCAGACAGUAAAUUUAAACUGAAAAUUAUUACUGAGACAUGCCCGUCGAAGAACACGACAUUAGAUGUUUGUUACUUUAUUCCCUCUCCUCAAGUCUUUGCAUAUGCUUUCUAUAUAUGAAUCUUCUUCUGUUAUGAUGUUCUUUGUCUUUUGACAAUAUUAGUUCUGAAUAUUUGAUGCAGGGUCUUUACCGGUCAUUACGAAAUUGCUGCACACAAUGUGAAGCAGCGGAUUUUCAGAAUAUCCUAAUUGUCGUAGUGUUUAUGAUGUAACAACUCUUCAAUGUCAUGAGCCUAUCAAGUGCCCCUCAUUUCAACGAUCCAGUGAUACACUUUGGUAUCUCUGCUCCUUAUUUUAUCUGGCCUUUAACAUAGGCAUUUCACUGGGUUACUGAUUCUGCAGAUAUUGAAGAUAGACUUUCGAGAGCAAUAGUGUCAUUUGACAUUGAAGAUGAACAAUUCAAACUUUUUACAUGGAUGGAUCCUUUUAAAAUUCCUCUUGAAGAGCCAGUGAUUAUCGAUACAUUAAAUAACUCACUUUCAUUGGUUGUUCCUCACAAAAGUUUUCUAAAUUACUCAAGCUUUUAUAUAUGGGUAAUGGAUGACUACGGGAAAUAGGUAUCUUGGACUAGGUGGUCCAUCACCCAUAUAUAAAAGCUUGAGUUUAGAAAACUUGUGUGAGGAACACCUAGUGAAAGUGAGUCAUUUAAUGUAUCGAUAAUAACUGGCUCUUCAAGAGAAAUUUUAAAAGGAUCUGGCCAUGACAAAAAUUUGAAUUGUUCAUCUUCAAUGUCAAAUGACAUUACUGCUUUGGAAAGUCUAUCUUCAAUACCUGCAGAAUCAGUAACCCAAUGAAAUGCCUAUUGUAAAGGUCAGAUGAAAUAAGGAGCAGAGAUACCAAAGAAUAUCACUGGAUCAUUGAAAUGAGGGGCACUUGAUCAGGCUCAUGACAUGGAAGAGUUGUCACAUCAUGUGCACUACGACAAUUAGGAUAUUGGACAAAUGAUCUUCCUAUAAUGACAACAUAUGAGAGCGAUUUUUUUUUGAUGACCCUACUAAGAACGAAAGAACACUCCAGUUUUUUGUAUUUCUGCACACAAUGUGAAGCAGCGGAUUUGUGGAAUAUCCUAAUUGUCGUAGUGUGUAACAAUUCUUUAAUACCUUGAGCCUGAUCAAGUUCCCCUCAUUUCAAUAAUUUAGUGAUACACUUUCGUGUCACUGCUCCUUAUUUUAUCUGGCCUUUAACAUAGGCAUUUCAUUGGGUUACUGAUUCUGCAGAUAUUGAAGAUCGACUUUCCAAAGCAAUAGUUUCCUUUGACAUUGAAGAUGAACAAUUCAAAUUUUUUACAUGGAUGGACCCUCAUAAAAUUCCUCUUGAAAAGCGAGUGAUUAUCGAUACAUUAAAUGACUCACUUUCACUGGUUGUUCCUCACAAAAGUUUUCUAAACUUAAGCUUUUAUAUAUGGGUGAUGGAUGACUAGGUGAAAUAGGUAUCUCUUUUGGACUAGGCGAUACAUCACCCGUCUAUAAAAGCUUGAGUUUAGAAAACUUGUGUAAGGAACAAUCACUGAAAGUGAGUCAUUUAAUGGAUCGAUAAUAACUGGCUCUUGAAGAGGAAUUUUAAAAGGAUCUAGCUAUUAAAAAAAAUUGAAUUGUUCAUCUUCAAUGUCAAAUGACACUACUGCUUUGGAAAGUCUAUCUUCAAUACCUGCAGAAUCAAUAACCCAAUGAAAUGCCUAUUUUAAAGGUCAGAUGAAAUAAGGAGCAGAGAUACCAAAGAGUAUCACUGGAUCAUCGAAAUGAGGGGCACUUGAUCAGGCUCAUGACAUGGAAGAGUUGUCACAUCAUGUGCACUAGCUACGACAAUUAGGAUAUUGGACAAAUGAUCUUCCUAAAAUGACAACAUAUGAGAGCGAUUUUUUUUUCCGAUGAUCCUAAAAUCCAAGAACGAAAGAACACUCCAGUUUUUUGUAACUUCAGUUAUGUUCAGUUAUGUUUCAUUAUGUUCUAUCCUGAGGAAAAUAAUAUCGUUAUCAUUGGCAGGGAGGAUGGCUCUAUACUAAUCUAUGGUGUUCAGAAAGAUAUGGUCUGUAUCUAUAUAUACUGAUAUCUAAGUGUUGUGCAUUAAAAAUGAAAUAUCAUAAUAUAGCUAUUAAGUUCUUAUUAUCUAUUUAGCUUAUAUAGAAGAUAUCAGAUGCAUCGGCACAUUUCUGUCAAGUGUCACCAGGACCAAAGACAUUUGUUAGUUGUACAUGAAAGUUGUAUAGCCACUCUUGAAGGACCUAAUCUCGAGACCUGCAAGCAGGUAUCUGUUAAUUAUUUGCAGUGUUAACAAUUAAUUUAUAUGCUUUGUUGAAUAUCACAACAUGCUUCACCCACGCUUUAUUAGACCUUAUUUGAAAGAGGUCGGGGUGAUGGUUUUGGGUGCAACUAUAAUGUGUAUUAAUGAUCAAGCACAUAACAAAUAUAUAUUAAUUGUGUGUGUACAUAUAUACCUACAUGAAAACAAUCAUAUUCAACAGAACAUGACACUGAUUUUUCUAAAAUUGCCCCUGGUGCAAUAUCAUGUCGCUCUGCUAUAUAUUGAGAGUAACAUCUAAGUUCUUAAUGACAGAAGAAAUUCUCAAGCUCUUUAAAUAUUUCUCAGUAGAUUCCCGGGGAAUUGAUCGGUGAUGCUGCAUAUAUAUUCAUGUGAUGGCCAGUCCAUAUAUGCCUGCUUUCUUAACAGGCACAUUGUUUUCUUGGACUCGGCAUCUUUGACCAUAAAGUUUUUUAUCAAUCCGAGUGCAUAUUUACCUUGUAAUUAAAGGUAGGUGUUAUGUUUAAUUAAAAUGUAUCCUGAAAAUAUGAGCUUAUUAGCGAUAACACGCUCUUGACUGGAAGCUGCCUUCUGUAUUAUAUCUACAGCCCGGUGAUGUACGCUUCUACUCUUGAGGCUAAUCCUACAAAACACAAUCAGUUUGCUCUCGGGCUUAGUACUGAUGGUGGCGUACUAGUUAUAGAACUUGAGGAAGAGGAUAUUGGGGUUGGCAUUGUAGCACGCCUUAGCUUGAGACCAGCAACAACUGAGAACUUGAUAUGAGCUUUUGUGAUAAUCAGAGCCCAGUAUCUCUUGAAAUCUAUGUGUUUUAAAACAUACAUCUAGGGAUUGGAUUAGUGCAAGUUUUUUUUUUGCUGGACUAUGUUAAGUGGUAAAUGUUCGAUGCAAAUAUAGACGUAGUGAAAAAGUUUAAAUGAGAAUUGUCAACAAAGUAUGAAAAUAAGAAAAGAAAGCCAAUAUUUUGACAUAAACAAUGUUUCACUUAUACCCCCUGUAAUUUUCAAUGCAAAUACAUAUGUAGCUGCCCAAUUUCAAAAGGGAAUUAUCAAAACAAAUAUGCAAAUAUACAUGCUUGACUAUGUUAAUUGAUAAAUUUUUAAUUGAAAUAUACAUGUAGAAGCAGAAUUUGAAAUGAGAACGGUCAACAUAGUAUGAAAUAUGAAAAUAAUAAAAGAAACUUAAUGU
This 49900-nucleotide long non-coding RNA is filed under the name Daucus carota (carrot). Its description in RNAcentral is "long non-coding RNA (DCAR_LNC000420)". The record is from RNAcentral. Lineage: Eukaryota; Viridiplantae; Streptophyta; Magnoliopsida; Apiales; Apiaceae.